Molecule: long non-coding RNA, 53601 nt
Filed under: Malus domestica (apple)
Lineage: Eukaryota; Viridiplantae; Streptophyta; Magnoliopsida; Rosales; Rosaceae
Description: long non-coding RNA (MDOM_LNC018681)
Source: RNAcentral
UCAAACUACAUGGGCAUUAUAUCAGGGAGUUGCCUGAUUCAAUUAGCAACUUGAAGCAUCUACGGUACCUCAACUUGUGUGGCAGUCCAAUAAGGAAAUUACCAGACACGGUAUGCAGUUUGUAUAAUUUACAAACGUUGUUGCUAUCAAAUUGUACAUGUCUAGCUGAGUUGCCCACCAAUUUGAGAAGACUUAUCAACUUGCGCCAUCUUGAUUUGAGACGUACGAAAAUAAGAAAGAUGCCCCCCCCACAUGGGCAAGUUGAAAGAUCUCCAAACAUUUGGGAGGUGAGUUUGUCUUGAGCAAAGAUGUCGGGGGAAACAUUGAUGAGUUAAAGGGGUUUCAGCAUUUGAGUGGAAAUCUUCAUAUUUCAGGGCUUCAAAAUAUCACACGUGCUGAGGAUGCUUUGGAGGCCAAACUGAGGGACAAGAAGCUCAGUGAAAUACGUUUGAAAUGGGAAGGUGACACUAUUGAUUCUGAAAACGAUAGCCGAGUGCUAGGCAACUUGCAACCCAAUACAAACCUAAAAGUAUUGGCUAUACAAGGAUACGGAGGUACGAAGUUUCCAGGUUGGUUGGGAGAUGAGUCUUUCUCUAAUCUUGUCACUCUCCGACUUGAGACUUGUGGAUAUUGUUUCUCCCUGCCAGCAUUGGGGCAGCUACCGUCUCUCAAAAGGCUUGAAAUUGAUGGGUUGAAUGGAGUGGAAUCAGUGGGGUCUGAGUUUUAUGGGGGAAUUAAACCUGCAUUUAAAUCUCUGGAGUUUCUGAGUUUCUGCAGUAUGCGGGAAUGGCAAGAGUGGUGUUUCCCUGGAGGCGGACAUUUUCUAAUCUUUGCGAGCUUAGUCUGGGGAAUUGUCCCAAACUAACGGGGAAAAUACCGUUAGACUACUUCCCAAGACUUGAGCGGCUAAGUUUGCAGAACGUUAAAAUCGUAUAUUUUGUGGGUGGUGGAGUGUUGCUUGCGCCCAACUUGUGGUCAGUGCCAGAAGAUCUGCAAAUCUCGCUCCCAUCUCUUCAGUCUCUGUCCAUAGAAGGGUGUAAAGAAUUUAAAUCAUUUCCGGAAGAAUCUAAAUUCCCAUCCCUAAAAAAUUUGAAGAUAAAGGAGUGCCCAGAAUUUGUUGGUUUCCCCCAUGGGGGAGGACUGCAAGCGCCCAACUUGAAGACGAUGCAAAUCAAAGAAUGUAACAAAUUCAGGUCACUGCCAGAGGAGAUGCACGCUUCUCUCCCGUCCCUUCAGUGUCUGUCCAUAGAAGGGUGUAAAGAAUUUGUGGGUUUCCCCCAUGGAGGAGGACUGCAAGCGCCCAACUUGAAGAUGAUGCAAAUCAACGAAUGUAACAAAUUCAGGUCACUGCCAGAGGAGAUGCAAAUCUCUCUCCCGUCUCUCUCGUCUUUGUAUAUAUGGGAUUCUCCAGAAUUGGAAUCAUUUCCGGAAGGGGGAUUGCCGUCCAAAUUGCGUUACCUCAUUAUCUGGUGUUGUAAAAAACUGAUGGCAAACCGUAUGCGGUGGGGUCUACAAACACUCACCUCUCUCAAAUUCUUGGAUGUCAGCUUCUCAGGAUGUGAAGAAGAAGAAAUUGUCGAAUCAUUUCCAGAAGAGGGGCUGCUGCCAAUCACUCUCACUUCUCUCGGAAUCUCCCAUCAUCCGAAUCUGAAAACCAUUGACGGCAAGGCCUUAAGACACAUCAUCUCUCUCGAGGAGUUGUAUAUUUUUUAUUGUCCUCAACUCCAGAGCUUGCCAGAUGAAGGGCUACCCACUUCUCUUUCUUUUCUACAUAUCACCGGGUCUGAUUUGCUAACACAACGGUGUCAGAGAGACACAGGAGAAGAUUGGCCCAAGAUUUCUCACAUCCCCAACGUAAGGAUUAAUGACCGAAAGAUAUGAUUUGCAAUGGUAAGUAAUUCGUCAACGUUCGUUUGUGUUUAUUUACGAUCUGGCUGUGUAAAUUUUAAAUCAUAAAUAUGUUUCAAAUGUUAAUAUUCACGUAAUAACAAACAAAUUUUGCAGAUACUCCUGUCCCAUAUAAACUUGAAAGUAUUUGUGAUAGAAAGAUACGGAGCUACAAAAAUUCCAAAUCUGUUAGGAGAUGACUCGUUCGUUCUCUCAUCUUGUUACUCUUCGACUUAUGGAUUGUGAAUAUUGUUUUUCAAUGGCAGCAUUGGACAGCUACCAUCUCUCAGAAGGCUUGAAACUGAUGGGUUAAAUGGAGUGGAAUUGUUUCAGUGUUGGUUCUACUCUCCCUCUUUUCUUACUGUGUCUUAUGGUGGUUUCAUUAUACGACAGUUUGUUGUAUCGAACUAGUCCUCGGGGAAAAAGGAGCUUCAACAAGUUUACGAAAUUACGACCUCUAGUUUCCAAAUCUCCUUUUUCAAGUUUUUUUUUUCCAAAUCAUGUCUAUUGAGAGGUAGAUUUUGGUACUUUGUGGAAUUUGAAUUCAAACGCUUGGUUUGUAAAAUAUGGAUGAUGAAUUUCGUUUCUGUGGAACUGUGAAUCAAUGAUCAUGCAUGAAUGUUGUAAGACUAGAGUAUCAAAAACCCUCUGUUUACUAAUCAAUCUCAACCGGACUAAAUUCGACUUAUUUAAUUAGUAUUGCAAGAUGAUAUUAUCUAUUAAUCAUUGUCUAAUCAAUUGAUUGUUUUGUAAACUUUUUAAUGUAAAAGUGCUUAUAGUUUCUUGGGACGAGGAUGGUGAAGAUUAUACGGAGAGGAGGUUGAGAGCUUUCUUCUCCAGGUUUGGCGAGGUUGAAGAAAUGCUCUUUAAGAACAGAGGUCCUGCGGAAAUUGUCAUGGCAACUAAGGAUGCAGCUGUGAAGGGGUUUCAACAUGACUGCGCUGUUCAUGAAAAGUUUGAAGGGAAAAAGCAGCAAUGAUGAACUAGGGUUUCAAAAUUUGCUUGUGUAUGCCAUUACUUUUAGUUUUGGUUUGGUUAAAACGCUACGUACAUUCCCAUCAUCUGAUUUAAUUUACAGUUCCUAACCUCAACUCACGACUAAAACUGGAAUUGCUAAGAAAAACUCGAAAUAUAUUGCAAACCAGAUUCUGUAUGCAAGCAAAAACAUAUUCAAUUAUCAACGAAUGGGGACUCUGCAAGAUCAAUAGCGCGUGCAAGUGCAGCAGCCUUGUUCUUGCACUCCCUCUGCUCAUCAGCUGGAUCACUGUCAGCGACAAUUCCUGCCCCGGCUUGGAGAUGAGCGACCCACUCUCUUUGCUUGUUUGCAUCCUUGUAUGAAUACAUUGUAUCAUACCGAAAGCUAGUUGGGAAAACAAUAGUUCUCAGAGCGAGGGCGAUGUCCAUGUUGCCAGAAAACGAAAUUCCCCAAAGCCACCACUGUAUGGACCACGUCUAGUCACUUCUAGCUUAUCGAUCAGCUCCAUGGCUUUCACCUGCAUUGCAGUAAAUGAGGAAACUCGAAAAUCCUAAGCGAGUCCAUACACAACAUCGUGUUCCAUAUAUCAACCAUUAGUGGUGUAAUAAGCCGAUUCCUAACUGAUUAGGUUAAUCCUCAAGGCUUUUACUCGCAGGAUUAUACAGGUUAAUUAGUCUAGGAUCAAUUUAGCUAACUGUUAAGAAAUAAAACAAGAAUAAAGGUCGUACCCAGUGCACAAGGCUCCCGCUUUACAGGUUAAGAAAUAAAACAAGAAUAAAAAGGUCGUACCCAAGGAUUUAAAUAUCGGUAAUAUCGGAAAUAUCGGUAGUCCGAAAACACGGAAAUAUCGAUGGAAAUAUCGGUAUAAUAUCGAUAUCGAUAAAAAUUACAUGGAAACCACGGAAAUUGUAAGAAAAACUUGGAAAUUUUUAUUGAAACUUUGCAGGAUGUUUAUUUAGUCAAUUAUCUAUUAAUUUAUCACAAAAAAUUGGAAGGAAAUGCAUUGCAUGAUGGAUUUAACAUUAUCAAGUUGAUUAUAUAGCGAGCUGGCAAACAUUGUGAGUGUAGAAAAUAUGUAGUAAUUAAUGAAAGAAGUUUAAACACACCAUAAUCAUUAUAUAUAAUGAAUUAGUACAAUAUUUUACACUUUAUACAUUGCAUGGAAAGAUACAUGAGUGACUUAGUACCACAUAGAGUUCUAAUGAGGUUCAAAAUUUUCACCUUGGUGUUUUUUAAAAUAUAGAAAUUUAUCUUAGAUAAUAAAUAUUAGCUUGCAAACCUUGCAGACAUCUUAAUGACCAUAUAAGGCUGAAUAUGUAAUCACAAACACAUCUGUAACAAGUUGGAUAAAGCCCAGGUACGUGGUUGACAAAGGAAGGGUUCAAAUAUAAUCUGCUUGCUUAGUUAAAAAAAACAAAAUAUUAUCUAAAUAAUUUAUAAUUUAUAUAACAUAUAUAUAUAUAUAUAUAUAUAUAUAAAAUAUAUCCUAAACUUUUAAAAAUAUAAAUGGAUGGCCUUCAUUAUUAAAAGUUAAAACCAUGCACCUCUUUCACGUCACUUGUCUAAAAGUUUUAGACUAAAACCAUCAAAGCCAAUGGUUUUGUUUUUUUUAAGUCUCCCGUCCCACCACCAAGGUUUUCUCUCUCUCUCUCUCCCCGCACUGUCCCCUCCUCCUCCCUCAUCUUCACAGAUCUCUGUUCCUCUCUCUCUCCCCGCACCGUCUCCUCCUCCUCCCUCAUCUUCACAGAUCUCCCCCUUCUCGAUCCUUCUCUCUUCUUCUCUGAGGCCCUCGAUCCUUCUCUCUUAUUCUCUGAGGCCUGACCUCUCUUCUCCCCCUUCUCCAUUCGACCCACACACACACAGAUCUCCCCCUUCUCCCACUCUCUCGAUUCUUCGCCCACUCUCUCGAUCCUUCGCUGCCGUUGAUCGUGGCUCUGGCGAAGUCGGACUUGGCUUAGUCGUCUCUGGUGGUGCGCCGCUGAGCAAGGAGUUGGCCCAGUCAUCGAUUUUUCAGGUGAGAUUCCAUUGAAAACCUAAGUCCUAAACCGACAUCACAUAUGUUGAAUCGUUGAUGCAUGCGUGAAAUUUGAAGCUUAUAUGUGAAAUUGAAGUUAAAAAUCGUGUUUUUGCCAGGUUUUUGGGACGAAAUGGGCUCAGGAAUAGGCACACCAUCUCCGGCGUUCUUCUCCGGCGUUCGAUAUCGGAGGCCGAUUGCACCGUUCAACAAAAUAUCUCGAUAUUUCCAAAAUAUCGCGAUAUUAUCGAUAUUAUCGAUAAUAUAGCGAUAUUUGGACGAAAACCACACGGAUACCUAUUUAAAUAUCCAUUCCCCGAAAAAUCGAUAUUAUCGGCGAUAUUUCGCCUGAUAUUCGCCUGAUAAACCUUCCCGACAUCAUUCCUCCCCAAGUCUACAAGCAUAAUAUGCUCUGCACAUUGCUUUUCAUCAUUCAAAACGUACUGUAUCAUAAGAGAAGUAACCAACCCAGCCGCCUGAUAAAGAGAGUGGAUGUUGUUAACCACCAACUUGUGACUUCGAGAACCUCCAUUUUUAAGAUUGAAUAAUGCAAUAAUACAAGGAUAAAUUUAUGGCAAUUUUGUGCCAAAGAAGUCUUUUGCGAAAGCCCAGAAUAUCACGCAAUACAUAACACUAGUGUCAACACAGUACAUCUACAACCUAACAAAAUGUACAGGAAAAUAUGAGCACACUGAUAACCCACAGUUCUACUUGCCUAGUCCAAAACUUUGAGACUAAGAAGGGAAAAAUAAGCAAAGCAUGGUCUUCAUUUUUAUAAAUAACUUCACCACAACUUUACAAAUCUAAGUUUUGUUAACGAACCACAUUUAAGGAGAACUGGUUUACUUUGAACUGAGAGGAUUAAGAUAUGAGUACUACUAAAGCGUGUUAUUUGUGUACUUAUCAUACCACAAAAUGCUUCUGGAAGUUCAUCAAGAAGUUGGGGUGUCCAUCCCUCCAUGAUUCUCCGAGGAACAGUCAUUGGAUCCUCCACAAACUCCUCUGUCCUACAACCUUCUUUGUGGUCCAUAAUGGUAACCAUGUUCUCCUUAGCCACGAUUUCAAUGGAUGGUUGGGCACCAAUAACACUGUGCCGGCCCUAACAAAUGAUUGACACCAAAAAUUUGUAAGUGAUCAAUUAUGGUCUACAGUCAGAUGCAAACAAAUACAAAUGAUACAAGGGGCUGAGGACGCUUACAACAUUGGAGUCGUUGGAACCCGGCUCAACUGACUCAAACAGAAAACUUGGAGCAUCUCUAUCAUCCUCCUUAACCAGACACCGGUAAGCGAGAACAGGAGUUAGAUGAUCCGAGAAUAUGCUCCGAGACAGAGGAAUUAAAUUCCCCUUCUUCGAGGCUUCUACAAACUUCUCUGAUUCGUCGGCUGCAGUAAAAUCAAUCGUACAAAUCAAAACUCGCAUUAGUAUAACCAAUUCAGUUCCUUACAAACAGACAUUGCCUGACAGAAUCAAAAUUUUUAAUUCUAAAAUUUGGGCAGAUUAUAAUCAUAUAAUGAUCACCACUCUCAUUGUUCGGCUAAUCGAACCGAAAUUAGCAUUUUACAAUGUAAAUCAAAACACAAUUAACUAAAAACCCAGAAAUUCAUUUUCUUUAUUUUCUUCCAGCAAAACAGUCAUAGAUACUCAAAUGUAAAUGGCUAAUACUCAAUUAUCCCCCCAACGUUCUACAUUUUCUCGGAAACCAAACACAUCCCAGAAAGCAAAUGUAGUUGAAUCAACUGCUCCAGAAGUAAAAUUGAAACGAGCAACAAAAAAAAUUACAAAGGUCGGGAAGAAAAAAGACAAUGCGAAGAUGAAAAUUAAAGGAAUCAAGCGAAGGAGGAGGGGUGCCGAUGUGGGUAAUGUACAUAUUGCCUACCCGAAUAAACAUUAGAAGGAGAAGGACCCGCAUAGGGCUCCAUAUGAGCAACCAAAGACGAUUGACUCGUCAUGUGAUGGGUAGCACCAGUGUCGGGAUGCCAAAGUGGAUCAGGCUUCUGUUCAAACUGGGUUGCGGCAAAGGGUGCGGCCUGAUCAGGCCCACAGUACCUGUGCGGGCAGGUCUGGAUAUGCUGGAACGUAUUGCAGUUAUAGCGCCAAGGAGGGCCUAAAAUUGGGCCGAAAAUUGGGCCGAACAGGAACAAAGGGCUGCUCCAGUUUUUGUUGAUGGGGAUGUUGCCAAUGAUGCUGGACUGGGCCCGCAGCAUUAAAGGGCCGACCACCACCACUAGAAUUAAAUUAUGAGUAAUACUAUGUUUCGAAUAAGGAAAUAAACUUGGAAUUUGGAUAAAAAUCAGAAUUUAUAAAUUGACAUGCACCAAUUCCUUUAUUUGGAUUUAUAAACAUAGAAAUUUAGAAUUUCCGCGUGAAAAAAAAACUUGGAAUUUGGGGCCUCCAAUUCCCAAGUUUAAAUUCCAUGUAAAUAAGUGUCAUUUACCAAUUUCUAUGAUUGAGAGUUUAAAAUUAACAAAUUCCAUUCUCAAUUUCAUUGUUCUUUUAGGUUAACCAAAAAAGAAAAAUCACAAAAUCUAGAAAAUAAAAUCCCGUCAUUUCAAUUUUCGUCAUUUUAAAAUUCCUUAGUAAUCUUAAAUUUCUUCAUCCAAACAUAGUGUUAGGCUAUUCAUACCAGGUUUUUGUACCACAUUUUCAUACCAUCUUAGGUGACAUCUGAUGUGGACAGCUACAUCAUUUGAAAAUUUUGCAAAACCCAAAGAAAGAAAGGAGAAAGACUUCUCGUAUACCACAAUCUAUCAUUUAAUUAACUAAAUUUUAUUAAUUAUUAGUUUAUUAAAUAAUGAACUAAAUUUAAAAAUCUAAUUAAUUCAAAUGAUGUGGUUGUUCACAUCAAAUGCCACCUAGAGUGGUAUGAAAAUAUGGUAUGAAUAACAUUACUCUUAAAUUAUUGACAAGCGGAAUCCAAAACGCACCCAAAAAUUAGGUAAAUAUUUUUACUUUAUAAGAACGAGUGGUUAUCAUGUGUUGCAAAUUUGUAAUGCGUUUUUGUGGAGCCAAAAAUAAUCAAGAAUAAUAUAGAGGUGACACGUGGAUUCUAGGAUAAAAUGGACAAAAUUACCUUCGAGGCACACCGGAAUUCCUACGCACGAGCAGUGGACAAUCAUCCCUCAAUAAAGUUAAAAGUGCCCAAAUAGGUAUUUAUUUAUAACAUCCCUCAUCAUAUCUUCUCCACAAUGUAACCCAUAAAUCAUUCAUUUUUUAUUAUAUUAAUUAGCUAAUUAAUUGAUUAAUUAUUAAGUUAAUUUGCUAAUUAAACACAAACCAUGAACUUCACCCACAAAUCCAUCCAAGUGGCCGGUCCAUCUCCUCCCAAGGUGGCCGGCCACACCCCUAUAUAAACACCUUCAUUCUCUCCAAAACUCAAUUCCAAUUCUCUUGCUAAACUCUCUAAAUUCUCUAAAUUCUCUAAACACUUUUCCCUCAAAAUUCUAACUUUGGCAUCGAAGGUUCUUCGGCCAAAGCCCCCCCCAAAUCAUCAUGAGCGCGUGAGGUUUUUGGCCUUGACCUAAGGUGUUAUUUGUUUUGUAGGUGCAAUUUUGUCCAAGAGUAAGGAAGAAGAAAUUUGCAUCCACAAAUUGAUGCUUUCAUUGAGAGUUGAGUCACACGCUCAUAGAAGACUCUCGCAUCUAAGGUUUUUCGUUUCCUUGCUUAUUUGUGGAUUUUUCGAACGUUCUUAUUCUAUGAAUUUUUAUUUCUAAAAAUCCUUUGAUAAAACGUAAAAGAAAAGUACAAUAGCAAGAGAUUCUAAAAAUCCUUUGUAGUCUAAUGCCGAUGUAUUCUUUGAUAAUUUGAUUGCAUAUAAGAUUGUAUUGUUCCUUCUCUAUCCGAUAUAUAUGAAUUCAUAUGCAGAACUACUUGGUUUUCUAUCAUGGUCAAAGUCAAAUACGUGAACACAUUGCAUUUUUUUUAUAUCAGUUUGUUAUUCUAGAUUGCAUACCUGCAAAGUUCAAAAAAAAAAAAAAGUAUUUAUGGCUUUAAACUGAUCAGUUCCUUUUCCUUUCUCCAAUUCCAAAAUUUCUCUUAUUAAAAAUCAAGCAAAUUGAAGAUCUGUAGAACGAGGAUGAAAACUAAUCCUUUUCCAUCAACGUUUUGUGUUUUUAGUGGGUAGAGUUAUGCUCUACAAUGAAGAAUGUGAGUGACUUUGAGAGCUUGAAGGAAGACAAUCUCGCCGAAAUUAACUUGAGGUAUAUUUAGAAAAUAAUUUUCUUUUUAAAAUUUUAUUAGGGUCUAAAUAGUCAUUUUAUAUUAGAUAUGUAAGACACUUAACAAUAAAUUUUUAUGUGGGGUGUAUUCAAUAAUAUAUGAGGUGUUAAUACAAAAAUCAUUUUCUUUAACAAAAACAAUAGUUUAGUUCCACUGCAUACAUCAGACUUUGCACAAGCGAGCCGUGGUGGACAUAUAGUAAGUCAGAUUUUAGCAGAAUCAUUAGAGCAAGAUGUUUUAAUAGAUCCCUUUGAAAAUCUAAAAGAAUUUAAACAAAACUUAGAAUUCAGUUUUAAACUCCAGAAAGUUAAAUUUGAUAAAACAGACCUAGAUAAUCUAGUAAGAAUAGCAGAAGAAACUCAAGUCUUAGGAGAAGAUCCCAUGAAGUAUUGGGAUGGAAAUAAGUUUUUAGGAAAGAUAAAUAUUAUUAACCCAGAUUUAAUCAUUAAAACUAAAGAAAUAGCCUAUGAUAACCCAGAUAAAAGAAGAUUUUCAGAAAUAGAUCAAAGAAUUACUAUGGUCAGAAAUAGAGCAGUGCAAGUUAGAGGACAAGCUAGGAUGAUAAUAAAUUAUAAAAGAUUAGAUGAUUAUACAUUCUCAGAUGGUUAUAAGAUCCCCACAAAAGAUCUUUUAAUCCGUAGGAUUCAAGAUAAAAGAGUUUUUAGUAAAUUCGAUUGUAAAAGUGGAUUCUGGCAGAUUAAGUUAGAAGAAAGUAGUAGUCCAUGGACAGCAUUUAGUUGUAGCGAAAGACAUUUCCAGUGGAAUGUCUUACCUUUUGGAUUAAAGAAUGCACCUAGUAUUUUUCAGAGAAAAAUGGACUUAAUUUUUAACCAGAAACCUUAUUCAGAUUUUUGUAUUGUUUAUAUUGAUGAUAUUCUAAUUUUUAGCAGGACAAGGGAUGAACACGAUGAUCAUCUGUCAAGAAUUUUUCAAGCUUUCUUAGAUAAUGGCAUAAUUAUUAGCAAAAAGAAGUAAAAUUCUAGUUUAUAUGCAAAAACAAGCUAAAGAGUAGAAGAUGAGCUUUAUUUCAAGAUGCAAUAGCCAAUAGAUGAGUAGAAGUAAAAUUCGAACAUAUAAAAGGUAGUAAUAACAUUGUUCCAGAUUUACUUUCAAGAUCCUUUGAUAUUUUUUCAGACCAAUGGCAUCAUCAAGCAGCAGUUCUUCAGGAGCUCACUCAGCUCAGAGUUUUCCAGAAAAACAGCCAGUUGGCUUGCCGAGUUUUCCAAAAAUUUCAGAUAAAACCAAGCCAAAAAGAGUAGCUUUUUCGGAAGAUCUUUCACUUCCUUCAGUGGAAAAUCAGUUUUACAAGUAUAGAGUUCCCCAAAACUUCAUUAUAGAUGUUUUCCGGUGGUGUAUAAUGGAUUCAGUCCAUUAUUAUACCAAGUUUUUAGAGAACAGACAUCAAGCCGGACUCCUCCACACUUUGAGGUGUCUUUGCUUUGUUUUACAUCAAAUGAAUUUAAAAAUUAGAAGCAAUCAUUUUCAGAAUGCUGGCUUACGCCCGCAAAGUCUUUCAGAGAAAAUGAAAAUUAUGCUUUUUAUUGUGUUUUCAAAUGAAGAAACCCUGGAAUUUAUGAUUCUUGGGAAAAAGUUUGUGCAGAAAUUUCAGAAUUUCCAAAUAGUGUUUACAAAGGAUUUCACACUAGAGAUGCAGCAAGUAUAGCUUUUGCAGAAUUCAUGGCAGAGAAAAUCUGUAUCCUGAGUGAAAACAGUUUAAGGGAGGAAUUAGAGAAAAUAAAAAGACAACUAAGAGAGUUAAACACUCAGAUGAGCGUAGAGAUCGAGUGUUUAGAUGUAGAAUUAGAUUAUGAAAGAUCAAAGAAAGUUAAUGAGAUUGAAUUUGGAAAUCCAUAUGUUAGAAGAAAUUUUGAAAAGCUUCCAGCAGAAAUCCAAUUCCAGAUUCUCGAAAGAGAGGAAGAAGUUGGUUUCCUUUUCUACAUUCAAGUUUUCCAGAUUCUCGAAUCAAUGGAGAAGAGUUUCAGAAUUUCAGAAUUGGUGAUAAUCCUAGCUAUCCACUCAUUACGCUUGGAUUAUUAUUCGAUUAUGGUCUUACAGAAGAAAUCUAUAAUCCUCCAGUAGAUGAAGAUUCAGAAGUCUUUCCACAAGUUUUCAAAAGAUCUGUUUCCCUCUACCGGCAGCGAGGAAGACAGACUCGGAUUUUAAUUAGCAGUAUUCCACACAAAGUCAGAGAGUUAGAACACGAUAGAAGAGUGUUCGAGCAGACCAAGAGGAUGUUCAGAACAGAAUAUUUAGCAGGAUAUAAUAAGGUAUAUAUUAGGGGUCACUAUGCUCCUAAUACAUUUUCAGCAGUUGGAUUAGCCAGACAGAGGCUUUAAAGUUAAGGAGACGUUCAGAAUUACAAAGCUUAUUCUCUGGAUGAAUUUUUAGAAGAAUCUGACGGUCACAAUAAUGGCUUCUGUAGAAUUAUCAUAGAGACGGGCUACGGCUCACUUCUAACAACAUCGAUACUAUCCUCAACUUGGUAAUUAUCACAUGUACAAUCCGUUAAGUGUGAAAUUUUAUUACAAAAAGCCUCGAUAAUAGUUGAAGUGAGAUUAAGAUAUUUAAAUUCUUAUUUUUUUAUUGAUAUGGUCGAUGGAACAUUUCAAUAGCUUCACCAUGGUUGCAAUGGCCAGACACUACCAAAUUUUUUCAGCUCUCACUUUUCUCAGAAGACUCAUCUCAUCUACAGACCAAUCUUAGCUUGUGAUGAAGAAACAGCAGACGAGAUUGAUGACAUCUGGCAAUGCGUCAAUAAAGCUUGCAGCAUAGGAGAUAGAGACGAUAUUUCUAUCGACUCUAUUAUUGCAGACAAAGCAUGUGAAUAAAGCUUGCUCCAAAAAAAAAAAAAAAAAAAACAUGUGAAUAAAGCUUAUUCCCUUAUCUUUUGGUUUGUCGUGUUGCAGCAUUAUUGGAUUCCUUUUCCACAAUGCGUGUCCUUCGUGGACCACCUUACGUGGCUACCACUAGUUCGUGUUGGUAGGAGAUGCCUUCUUGGUGAAGGUAUUUUGUCACGUUUUGCUUCUAAGAUAUGUGUAGGAUCGACGUAUAACGUUAUCAAUAUUUGUAUAUCUACGAUGCCCUUGCUUCCGAGACAUGAUCGAAAACGCAAAUAAAUGGUUCAGCAACUCAGUAAUUUUUUUUUAUUUCAUUGUUGUAUUUAAUUUUUGUGUUAGACUCUCUAUAUACCCGAAGAUGGAAUCAAGUCGUUCGUAGUUCACGUUUUACCUUGUUUAGUAAAACAAACAAAAACAUCAUUAAUUAAGCCAGCAAACACACGCCAUCAUCAUAUGUUACACUUCCUUCUAAACUACAGCAAAUCACCAAAUAAUCAACAAACAACAUAAAUUCAAAAACUAAAAUCAAAUUAAUCCAUAAUUAAUCAUAAUUUAGCAUGAAAUCUCAUGAAGCACUCAUCUUUUGACUGAAGGCUCCACCAUGCCUUGUGAAAUUUCCAAUCAGCUUCCAGCCGCCAUAAUACGGCACUGUAUACAAUGCACUACGCUUAGUAUUGUAUCAUUAUACCUAUACGAAAACUUCAGUUGAUGGGCACUGUUUACCAACAGUGAUUUCACGAAAAUACCUUUCGUUUUUCUUCCCAUUCCUGCUUUGCUUUUCAAUGUUAAACAGUGGAUUUACAAAUUUCCCCUUACUAUUUGUUGGCUGGGGGUGCCACCACCUCUAAGAAGAUACCUGUUUGUUCCAUUUGGGUCCAGAAUCUCCCCAGUUCUCUUUCUCACAAACCACGAACCAAAAAAUUCUCUCUCUAAAAAGAUCACGAACCCCAGCACAAUCUCUCUCAAAACCUGUUAACCACAACACAAUCCGGUCCCGAUUCGAAGAAAGCUUUAAGCCCAGAAAAAGUUCGGUUUCAUGGUGAGUUCUCCUACCGAUUUGGUGCUUCUUUUUGUUUUUGUUUUUUCUAGAUAGCAUGCAGUCUUUUCUGAGUUAAUGGUUGAGGGCUUUGUUACAAAAAUAAAGUAGUGGUUGUGGGUCAGGUAUGAGGUUUUUUAGGUACUCAAGAUUCCUGAAUUCUAAAUGUGUUGAAUUUGCUUUUGUUUUUCACUAAUUGCAUGCAUCAUAGAAUUAAUACAAAUACAAAAUGGAAAAAUGAUUUUCAUCCAUAAAUAAUAUUCAAAUACUUGAAAAGUUUGUUUUAAAUUGGGUUUGGUUUCAUUGGUUUUUCUGAUUUUGAAACUUUUGUUUUCAGGCUCCAAAGGCUUUUAGGGGCUUGUUUGGUAUCAUAUUAAAAAAAAAUCAUUAUUUCUCAAAACAUUUUUUUAAGAAUCUCUCUUAAAAACAAUUUUCUUUUAAGAUUCAAAAACUUGUUUAGUAUGAGAUUUAAAAUUAUUUUUAAAUCUUAGAUAAGUUUGCUGAAAUUAAGUAUGGUUCCUUUGCAGGGGAGUUUGUUUUGAUUUUUUGUGGAAGAAUUCCAGUUUCCAGCGCUUCGUAUUCUUCAAUUACAGGUAAAUGAAUGUUGCAUGUGAAAUUUUUUUUCACCAAAUAAAGAAAACCCUUUUGUUGGGUUGGGCGAAGCCAUAUUGCUUCUAUUGGCAUAAAACUAUUCCCACACAAUCAAAGUAUGCAGUGGUUUGAUAAUUAAGUACAGAAAAUCUUCGGCUGAUAUCCUUCUUCUCUUUGCGUGAUAAAACCAUGUUUUUUGGAUUAUGAUGCUUAUUCUGAUUCGUAUCUGUAAUCAUUGAUGAUAUAACAUUGUAGGCUUGGAGUAGGUUUUGUAGUCUUUUUCCUGAAAUAUAACUGAGUACUUCAUAAUCGUUGCAGUCCUUGGUUUGUGAUUUUGUUGCUCGAGUACCGAGGUUUAUCUUUUGGUGCUCUCUUAUUGGUUCUCACAUUUGAUUCAUCUCACCAAAUCAUUAAUGUAGAUUUCCUCUUGAAAUUUUAGCUUUGAAAUAGGUAGGUGGCGAUCUUUGCUUGGCUCUAUCAGUUGAUUCACAUAACCUAAUAAUUGAAGUCUUCUUUUCCUUGGGUCGGAAAAAUGGCAAUAAUUCUACUUGAGUUGAUAUUUCUUAAAAAAAAACUAAUGAAAAGGGCAUCAAAUUUUUACAUUUUAAUAAAAAAUCAUCCAUUAAUUUUAUUUAAUGACAAGGACAAAAGAAUUAAAAAAAAACAUAAAAAACCGAACUUGCGCUGGGCGCGUCCCCCAACCCCCCUUCCACACUCCACUUUUUUCCCGAUUGUCUGAUACAUUAAUAGAUUUUUUAUUUAUUUUAUUUUUGCUUAGAAUAAGAAAAAGAGUUCAAACUGAAUUACAUUCCCCAUUUUUAUAUUUCUGGUGUUUUUUUUUCUAAUAAUAGUCAAGAUAAUGAGAAAUUUUUCAAUGUGCUCGGAGCACGGGAUGGUACACCACGUGUAUCUAUACAAGUUGUGAGAUUCUUGUGUAAAAAAUUAAUUACACAAAAAAUAAAAUUUUUCGCUACUUACAUAAUAACACGUGGUGUGCCACUUGUGUUAUGGGCACAAGGUAAAGUUUCUUCAAGAUGACACUCAAGCUCCAAAAAUUGGAUGGAGAGCUGCAUUUAUUUUUGUAGGUAUGUAAAAAAAUGUGAGGAAAUUUUAAUUUAGUAAUUGAAAACAACUUUUUAAAUAUAAUUAUCGAGAACAUAAUCUUCUCAAGGUUUUGAUCUAAUGGAUCACUUCUGGGUUCAUCGUUUUGGGCGCAAUGAGUGCUUUUACAGGACCAAAAAGAGUCUUAAGUUUCAAACCUUAUGAAACUGAACCAAGAAGUAAACACUAUUUAUAAAAGUUGACCAAUAAGUAGACACUAUUUAUGAAACUAAAUCAAUUAGCAUACACUAUAUAUGAAAUUGAACCAAUAAGUAUACACUAUUUAUGAACGAAAACAAGAAUUAGACAAUAUUUCUAAAACUAAACCAAUAGAUGAAAAUUAUUUAUGAAACUGGACUAUACAAUAUUUACGAAACUGGACUAAGAAUUAGACAAUAUUUAUGAAACAAGAUCAAGAACUAGGCAUUAUUUAUGAAAGUGGAUCAAUAACUAGGCACUAUUUAUGAAACUGGACCAAGAAAGAGACACUAUUUAUGAAAUUAUACUAAUUACUAUACAUUAUUUAUAAAACUGGACCCAAUAACUAGGCUUUAUUUAGUCCAAGCAUUUUUCAUGAAAGUUCCCAUUUCUUAAUGAAAUAAACUAAUAGAAUAAUUAAGUCCUUUUGGGACCGCUCUUGCGCGGUUUAGAAUCACUUCUGAAUAAAGCACCUCCCACUUUUAAACCUAGAAUCACCUCCCAAAUAGGCCCUAAGCAAUACAAGAUCCAAAAGCUUUAAAUAAUCAUUUAAGUUAAUCCACCUGCUAAUUAGGAAGAAAAAUAAUCAAUUUGUAAAGUACUCUAAUAACAGUGGUUGUGGAAAAUGGAAACGGCUCCCCUCCGGAUCCAUUAUGUGGGGAUCCUAGAAAGCCUCACAUCUCAGUCAUUCAUCGUGUAUCGUGAUGUCAGAAAUCAUUUGACUUUUAUUAUUUUAAAUUAAACAUAAAUAAUACCUGACGAAAAUUGACUGCACGAUAGACGAUGAACGGCUGAGAUGUGGGGAUCCCAGGAUCCCCACAUAAUGGAUCUGGAGGGGAUUGGAAAAUUAGUAUUUGGUCCUCCCUAGUUACUAAUGCUUAUUGAUUAAGACGUUAUUAGUUUUCAGAUUUUGAUUAAAGUCCCUACCAUUAAUGUAUUGAUGAAUUUAGAUGUCAGUUAUAUAAUUUUUUGAAAUAAAAUUAGUAAUUGUUUUAAGGUUUUAAUAUUCACACCCUUAUUACACUCCUAAUUAAUUUUCAAUUCAAAAUAUUUCCAAAAAAAAAAAAAAAAGAUUUAGUUUGCACCCAUUAAAUUUUUUUGUUUAGAAAUAUUUUCAAUUUUUAAUCUUAAAUGUAACCAUUCAUAUAACUUUUCAAUUUUUUAAUCCUAAAUGUAAACAAUACUUUUUUUUUAGUAUAACAUGUACCCAUUUCUUUUUAUAUAAGAUCCAUUCCAUUUUUUUCUAAUCUAUAUUUUAAACUUAUAUGGGUACAUUCUAUUUCGUUGAUCUAAGAAUGUAUCCCCGUCAAGGAAGAAAAUAUCGGUAAUAUCGGAAAUAUCGGUAGUCCGAAAACAUGGAAAUAUCGAUGGAAAUAUCGGGAUAAUAUCGAUAUCGAUAAAAAUUACAUGGAAACCACGGAAAUUGUAAGAAAAACUUGGAAAUUUUUAUUGAAACUUUGCAGGAUGUUUAUUUAGUCAAUUAUCUAUUAGUUUAUCACAAAAAAUUGGAAGGAAAUGCAUUGCAUGAUGGAUUUAACAUUAUCAAGUUGAUUAUAUAGCGAGCUGACAAACAUUGUGACUAUAGAAAAUAUGUAGAAAUUAAUGAAAGAAGUCUAAACACACCAUAAUCAUUAUAUAUAAUGAAUUAGUACAAUAUUUUACACUUUAUACAUUGCAUGGUAAGAUACAUGAGUGACUUAGUACCACAUAGAGUUCCUAUGAGGUUCAAAAUUUUCACUAUCUUCAUCAUCUCUAUGUGUAGAGUGAGUGUAUUUUGAAGAGUAGUUACCAACUAUGGCAAUGGUUUUCAAGAACCAAAACCCAAAAGUCAAUAGGAAACCGAAUACUUCAGUAUUUUUCGGGAUUACCAAACAAAUGGGAUUUGGAAACCAAUCCCAUAUCGAAAAUUUCGGUAUUUUUCGGGAUGGGAUUCCCGAACUUCAGGAUGGUUUUGGUUUAGGAUUUUUCGGUUUGGGUUUGGGACUUUUUCGGUUUGGUUUGGGAUUUUCCGGAAUUUUUUCCAGCCCUUGACCAAAUAAAAAAUAGAAAAAUUAAAAACCACUUGCCAUUGACUAAGUAAUUAAUUGACACAAUUUAAAAUAUAAUACCACAAAAAAUUUGGAAUAUGUGCAAAUUUGUUUCUUGUAAAAAUAAACCAUAUAUAUAAAUAUUGUAGCUUAUUAUCAUAACAACAUAAGUGGUACAGUGGUUAAGGCCUUAAGAAGUUAAGGGGGAGGGGUUCGAACCCCUUUAUACUCAAAACCGAGUCUUUUCCAAAUUUUAAGGAAUUUUUGGACUAAUAUCGCGACAUUUUAGCGAAUAUCGCGAUAUUAUAAAAAAUAUCGAGAAAUAUCGCGAUAUUAUCGAUAUUUGCGAUAAUAUCGCGAUAUUUUAACGAAAACUCAUUGGAUACUCCUUAAAAUAUCGGUAAGUAAAAAAAACGAAAAUUUCGCCGAUAUUUUCGAUAUUUAAAUCCAUGAUCCCCGUCAAGUUUAAUCAAAUAAAUUUAAUAAUGUUAUUAAGUCUUUUUUUGUGGUUUUGGAAAAUGUACCCAUGUUUUGGUACAAUAAUUUUUUUACUAUUAUUUACGAAUGUGUAUAUACACAAUAUAUUGGAGAGUAUAAUUUAUCCUUUAAUAUUUUUAAUUCCACUAAUUAUGGGUUUUAUUUAAAAUCUCAUAAAUAUAAACAACUAUAACUACAAAUUUCAAUUUUCAAUUUAAGAAUAUAAUAACUUACAUAUAAAUAUAUUAUUUCAUUAAUGUCAAAGACUUAGAUCAAAAGCUGAAAACCAACAAGAUUUCAGUUAAAGAGCAUUGAUAGUUAGGGAUCGCAUCCCAACUCUGCCCUUAAAAAAUUAUUAUUCUAAGCAAUGCGCAUCUAAAACUAUGAUAUCUCAUCUUAUCAAUCUUAGAUUUAAAUAGUGACUAGAGAUUACAAAGAGAGAUGAAAACAAGUUUAAUAACAAUUAAGGAUUUUGUUAUUGCAUGAUUCAGUGAGUUUCUUACUGAAUAACAUCGUAGAGGAGAAAUGAUCACUUGUAGGAAAAUGAUUCAAUGAGUUUGUUACUAGAUAACAUUUGAUUCAUUUUUUAUUUGCUCAAUAAAACGAUUAAAAAGAAAUUAGAGUGUGUAUAAGUAACAAAUUAAUGAGAGUUUGUAAAAUGUAAAAAGAAAUGAGAGUAUGUAAUGGGAUCAUUAACAACAUAAUCAAGAAUAAUCAUUAUGUUUAUCUCAUUGAAUCAGCAUUUUCUAUUUGUCAAAAAAUAGGACAAACAUAAUGAUGUCUAAAUUCAGAAGCUGGAAUACAACUAUGAUUCAUUGAGUUUCUUUUUGUCAGAAAAUGUAAGUUGAUGUCUAACUUCAGAGUUGUACAGCUAUAGAGUAUGCUAUUUAUUUCAUCUUAUACUCCAUAUUUGUGCUUAGAGAUAAGCAAAAUGAUGUAUGAGAAACUUCAUCAAGCAGCCCUUUUGUUUUAAUGGUUUUUCGGUUGAUGUUUUGUUUAAUGGUUGCUCUUUUGCGACUAAAUUGGUGGUUUCAUAUAUUAAGUUCAAUUGUUAGAAAGUAGAAUUUUUCUUCGGUUUGGACGUGAUUUUUUCCAUAUAUUUAAUUACUUACAGAACUUGAUCGUCUCUGUUUCAACUCUGUUUGCGUUAUGAAUAGCAACUCUUUCCAAGUUUAACAUGGAUUUAUUUUUAGAGUGGAAUUAUGUACAGAAAAUCUCUAAAGAUGCUGACAAUGGAGGGACAUUGAUUCAGAACACAGUGGUCAAGUCUUUACAAGCUAAUUCUGCAGGUAAUAGAAACUACACCUUUUCUCUCUGCUUGCAUGCUUUUUAACAUAGAGAGAAAUUGAAAUUGUACUUUAGAAUUAGCGUUCUUUUUUAUGAUCUACUGCCUGGUAAGGGUUCUUGAAAUUGUAUUUUAGAAUUAGUGUUUUUCUUGAUUCAAAACAAAAGGUCUAUAAUUUCCUUCCUACAUUCCAUGUAUUUACAUAGUAUUGCCUAUUGUAAAUAUAUUUACAAAUUUUACAUGUUUUAUACGGUUUUGAAACACUCAACAUAAGGGACCUCUGUUUCAUAUGUAUUUAUUUUUGCUUAAAUGUCAAAAUGGUCCCUGUAUUGUAGCCACAUGGCAAAUUUAGUCCCCAUGUUUUUGUUUUGGUUAAUUUAGUCAUCAUGUUUGUUUCUGUUAGUCAAUUAAGGAUAUUUCAUUCAAUCUCUUUUAAAAAAUUCAUAAGAAAAUUUAUAUGAGAUAUUAUUAUCAUUUCUCUUUACAAAAAAAUGCAAAUUAAUAAGAAAUAACACAUAUAAGAGAUAAAACUUCCAAUCUGAAAAAUGAUUAAGAUUGUGACAUAGAAAAGAGAGGGUAAUGUUAGGGAGGAGGUCGGGAAAUUGGAAGGAGAAUAAAUUUUCUUUUAAUUUCAUUUUUAAAUAUUUUAAAUCAAAUAAAUAAUUUUAUAAAUAAGUUUACAAUAAUUUAUAAAAAAUUUUACAGAAAUUAGAUGGAAAUGUCCUUAAUUGGCUAAUGAAGAUAAACACAAUGACCAAAUUGAUCAAAUUGAAAACACAUGAAUUAAAUUGACCCAAUAACUAAAACACAGAGACCAUUUUAACAUUGAAGCCUUUAUUUUUAGAACACUUCCAGCCCAGCCAAGUCCCCUGGGCGAUGAGCUCUGGAAUCCCCCUACCCAAAAAAAAAGAAAAAGAAAACGCAGCUCCAGCCCAUUCCAAUAACCUCGGCUCCCCUGGAGCCCCCACUUUUCCCCCAGGUCCGAAUUGACUGGCCCAGCCACCGGGUGGUAUGACAUCACUUUGAUGUUAGCCAUGAUUAGAAAAUUAUAAAAAAUACAAAAACUUAUAAAAAGUCAAUUAAAAAUAUAAAAAAGUUAUAAAUUUUUUUCUAUAAAUACCAUAUUUUUUCACUUUACAUCACAUUUCAAUAUUUUCAAAUACUUUUCAACCAAUUUUUUAUUGUCAUUCCAAAUUAAAAAUAAAAUUAUUUCUUAUUAAAAAAUAUUUUAAUACCAAUAACCUGGGCUAUUUGGUGGAGAUGUAAUGAGACAGUUACUGUUCACUAAAGACAGUUACUAACUUACCAUCCACUUUGGCGGAUUGGGUUGCCUAUAGCACAUGGAGACAUUUAGGGGUAGGGUUGCUCUAAAAAGUGGAGUUUUAAGGCAGCCGAUGAGAAAUGACUCCAAACGCAUCUACUUUUGUGUUAAAUAUAAUAAAGUCAGUCUUUGUUUAAUAUCAAUCCAAUAACUCUUGGUUUGAAUUAGUUUAUUUGUAGCGAAAACGAACCAUAGUUUUCGUUACAUUGAUAUUGCUAGCUAAUUUGUGAUUAUCUCCCCCAGCAAAACUCAAUUCCAUUUGCAAAGAAGAGAUCGAUCAUGGCUGUGGAGGUGGUAGGCGGAGCAUUUUUCUCCGCUUUCUUUCAACAAGUAUUUCAAAAGAUGGAUUCUCAGGAGGUCAAGAACUUCAUCAGAGGAAAGAAACUGACUGAUGGGUUGCUGAAGAAGUUGAGGAUCGAGUUGUUAUCUGUCAAUGCUGUUUAUGAUGAUGCCGAGCAAAAGCAAUUAAGUAACCCAGUUGUGAAGCAGUGGCUGCAUGAGCUUAAAGAGGCAGUCUUUCAUGCUGAGGACCUUCUGGACGAGAUCAAGACAGAAGCGUUAAAGCGGAAAAUGGAAGCUGAAUUUGGAAGUAGCAUAAGCAAGGUACAAGACCUCAUCUCUGCUUCUUUCCAUGCUUUUGAUGAGUCUAUAGACAACAAGAUAAAGGAAAUUAUUGAGACGCUAAGCUUCAUUUCACAACAGAAAGAUGCCUUCGGUUUGAAAGAACGUUGUAGUCACAGAAUCUCACAAACAUUGCCUUCAACUUCUUUAGUAGAAGGCUCUGAUGUAUAUGGAAGAGAUCAUGAGAAGGAAACCAUCAUUCAAUUGUUGCUAUCAGAUGAUGUUACUUGUAAUAAGAUUGGCGUCAUUCCCAUCGUGGGCAUGGGUGGGAUCGGAAAGACCACCCUUGCCCAGCUCUUAUACAAUGAUGAUAAAGUGAAGCAGCAUUUUGUGCUCCAGGCAUGGGUUUGUGUUUCUGAUGAAUUUGGCGUUGUUAAGAUCACACAAACAAUUUAUGCAUCAGUCACUUCACAAACCUGUGAUACCACAGACCUAGACCAGCUUCAAGUCAAACUCAAAGAUGCUUUGAAGGGGAAGAAGUUUCUUUUUGUUCUUGAUGAUGUUUGGAAUGAGAAUUACAAUAUUUGGGAUUCCUUAAGGCGCCCCUUCGAGUCUGGAGCUCAUGGAAGUAAGAUCAUUGUCACCGCAAGGAAUGAUGGCGUUGCAACUACGAUGGGUACUUUGCAAACCCACUAUUUAAAGAACUUACUUGAGGAAGACUGUUGGUUUUUAUUUGCAAAACAUGCCUCCAAAGAUGCAAGUGGUGUUGUAGAUCCAAAUCUUGAGGUAAUUGGAAGACAAAUUGUUAGCAAGUGUAAAGGCCUUCCUUUAGCUGCAAAAUCUCUCGGUGGUCUCUUACGCUCUGAAUCAAAAGUGGAGGAGUGGGAAAAUGUGCUAAAAAGUGACAUAUGGGAGUUGUCAUAUGCAAAGAUUGACAUUCUGCCGGCUCUAUGGCUAAGCUACCAGUACUUGUCUCCGGAGCUGAAGCGUUGUUUUGCUUAUUGUUCCAUAUUUCCCAAAGACUAUAAAUUUAACAAAUCUGAAUUAAUUUUGUUGUGGAUGGCCGAAGAUCUUUUACAACCCCAAAAGAAGACUAUGUUGGAAGAUGUUGGAAAGAAAUACUUUGAUGAUCUGAUCUCACGGUCAUUUUUUCAAUACUCAUCUUCAAAUGAUUGUUUCAUCAUGCAUGAUCUGAUGCAUGAUUUGGCGACUUACGUAUCUGGAGAAUUUUGCAUUAGAUUGGAAGACCACAACUUCUCAUUGGACGUUGUGAGCAAGGGGUCGUCAUUUUUUUUCUUAUUUGCAAUAUUCAUCUAAUGUUGAUUAUAAGAGAUUUGGCACUAUUUAUGAAGCUAAGUAUCUGCGCACCUUCAUUCUUGGCGAUCUCUAUUUGCCGACAGUACGACUUGAUCUCCUUUUAAUGCUACAGUGUUUAAGAGUCAGUUUCAAAACUACGUGUGCAUGAUAUCACGGAGUUGCCUGAUUUGAUUAGCAACUUGAAGCAUCUACGGUACCGAUCAUUGUACCAACUUGUGUGACCGGACACGUGUAACACUCCAAUCCCAGAAAUUACACGAACACGGUAUGCAGGUUUGUUUGUAUAAUUUACAAACAUUGUUGUUGUUGUCAAAAUUGUACAUGUCUAGCUGAGUUGCCCACCGAUUUGAGAAGACUUAUCAACUUGCGCCAUCUUGCUUGAUUUCAGAGGUACGAAAAUAAAAAAGAUGCCCCCCCACAUGGGCAAGUGGGCAAGUUGAAAGAUCUCCAAACAUUCGGAGGUGAGUUUGUCUUGCUUGAGCAAAGAUGCUGGGGGAUACAUUGAUGAGUUAAAGGGGUUUCAGCAUUUGAGUGGAAAUCUUCAUAUUUCAGGGCUUCAAAAUAUCAAACAUGCUGAGGAUGCUUUGGAGGCCAAACUGAGGGACAAGAAGCUCAGUGAAAUACAUUUGAAAUGGGAAGGUGACACUGCUGAUUCUCAAAACGAUAGCCGAGUGCUGGGCAACCUGCAGCCCAAUACAAACCUAAAGGUACUGGCUAUAAAGGGAUACGGAGGUAUAAAGUUUCCAGGUUGGUUAGGAGAUGAGUCUUUCUCUAAUCUCAUCACUCUCCGACUUGAGAAUUGUGGAUAUUGUUUCUCCCUGCCAGCAUUGGGGCGGCUAACGUCCCUCAAAAGGCUUGAAAUUGAUGGGUUGAAUGGAGUGGAAUUAGUGGGGUCUGAGUUUUAUGGGCCUGCAUUUAAAUCUCUGGAGUUUCUGAGUUUCCGCAGUAUGCGGGAAUGGCAAGAGUGGUGUUUCCCUGGAGGUGAAGAAGAAGAAGGCGGACAUUUUCCUAAUCUUUGCGAGCUUAGUCUGGAGAACUGUCCCAAACUAACGGGGAAAUUACCGUUAUACUACUUCCCAAGACUUGAGCGGCUAAUUUUGCAGAAAGUUAAUAUCGAAUCCCUUGCUUGUUCGCAAGAAUGCAAUAAAUUCAAUAUUGAACUCCCAUCCCUCCGUGACUUGGGAAUAUCAGAUUGCCCGAAUCUGGUAUGUUUUGUGGGUGGUGGAGUGCUGCUUGCGCCCAACUUGAAGAGGAUAUCUAUGUGCCGUUUUAAAAACUUGUGGUCAGUGCCAGAGGAGAUGCACGCCUCUCUCCCGUCUCUUCAGUCUCUGUCCAUGGAAGAGUGUGAAGAAUUUAAAUCAUUUCCUGAAGAAUCUAAAUUCCCAUCCCUCUAUUAUUUGAAGAUAAAGGAGUGCCCAGAAUUUGUGGGUUUCCCCCAUGGAGGACUGCAAGCGCCCAACUUGAAGAUGAUGAAAAUCUAUGAAUGUAACAAAUUCGGGUCAGUGCCAGAGGAGAUGCACGCCUCUCUCCCGUCUCUUCAGUCUCUGUUCAUAGAAGGGUGUAAAGAAUUUAAAUCAUUUCUGGAAGAAUCUAAAUUCCCAUCGCUUGAUGAUUUGAGGAUAUACAAAUGCCCAGAAUUUGUGGGUUUCCUCUAUGGAGGAGGACUGCAAGCGCCCAACUUGAAGAGGAUGGAAAUCAAAGAAUGCAAUGAAUUCAGGUCACUGCCAGAGGAGAUGCACGCCUCUCUCCCGUCUCUUCAGUCUCUGUCCAUACUAGGGAGUAAAGAAUUUAAAUCAUUUCCGGAAGAAUCUAAAUUCCCAUCCCUCAAUAAUUUGUAUAUAAUGAAUUGCCCAGAAUUCAGGUCACUACCAGAGGAGAUGCACGCCUCUCUCCCAUCUCUUCAGUCUCUGUCCAUAGAAGGGUGUAAAGAAUUUAAAUUCCCAUCCCUUAAUCAUUUGUGUAUAAUGAAUUGCCCAGAAUUCAGGUCACUGCCAGAGGAGAUGCACGCCUGUCUGUCUCCCUUCUCUUCAGUCUCUGUACAUACAAGGGAGUAAAGAAUUUAAAUCAUUUCCGGAAGAAUCUAAAUUCCCAUCUCUCUCGUAUUUGAAUAUAUGGUAUUGUCCAGAAUUGGAAUCAUUUCCGGAAGGGGGAUUGCCGUCCAAAUUGCUUUCACUCAGAAUCGGGAGUUGUAAAAAACUGAUGGCAAACCGUAUGCGGUGGGGUCUACAAACACUCACCUCUCUCGAAAGAUUGGAUGUCAGCUUCUCAGAAUGUGAAGAAGAAGAAAUUGGCGAAUCAUUUCCAGAAGAGGGGCAGCUGCCAACCACUCUCACUUCUCUCGGAAUCUUCCAGCAUCCGAAUCUGAAAACAAUUGACGGCAAGGCGUUAAGACACCUCAUCUCUCUCAAGGAGUUGAACAUUUUUUUUUGUCCUCGACUCCAGAGCUUGCCAGAUGAAGGGCUACCCACUUCUCUUUCUGGUCUAGAAAUCCGCGAGUGUGAUUUGCUAACACAACGGUGCCGGAGAGACACGGGAGAAGAUUGGGCCAAGAUUUCUCACAUCCCCAAGGUAGUGAUUGAUAACCGAAAGAUAUGAUUUGCAAUGGUACGUAAUUCAUCAACGUGUGUUUAUGUGUUUAUUUACGAUAUGGCUGUGUAAAUUUUAAAUCAUAAACAUGUUUCAAAUGUUAAUGUUCACAUAAUAACAAAUUUUACAGGUACUCUUGUCCCAUAUAAACUUGAAAGUAUUUGCGAUAGAAAGAUACGGAGCUACAAAAAUUCCAAAUCGGUUAGGAGAUGACUUGUUCGUUCUCUCAUCUUGUUACUCUUCGACUUGUGGAUUGUGAACAUUGUUUUUCAAUGCCAGCAUUGGCACAGCUACCAUCUCUCAGAAGGCUUGACACUGAUGGGUUAAAUGGAGUGGAAUUGUUCCUCUUUUCUUAUUGUGUCUUACGGUGGUUCUAUUAUACGACAGUUUGUUGUAUCGAACUAGUCUUCGGUGAAAAAGGAGCUUCAACAAGUCUAUGAGCUCUAGUUUUCGAAUUUCCUUUUUCAAGUUUGUUUCCAAAUUAUGUCUAUUGAGAGGUAGAUUUUGGUACUUUGUAGAAUUCGAAUUCAAAUGUUUGGUUUGUAAAAUAUGGAUGAUGAUUUCAUUUCUGUGGAACUGUGAAUCUAUGAUCAUGCUUGAAUGUUGUCAGACCAUUAUCUAUUCUAAAAUUGAGGAGGGAUUUGACUGUAGCUUAGCUACAGUCAAAUGAUUGACCCUCGAUUUUGCUUUAUUUACAUCACUACCAUUAUAUCUCUGGCUGGGUUGGAAGGGUAAUUAUUACAACUUAGAAGGGUAAUUUUGUCCGUGGGUUUGAACCGAAUUUCACUUUUAUUUACAAAAUUGCCACCGCCUUUUCCUUCCCUCUUUCUCUCUCCCGACUCUCUCUCGGUAACCAUCCAUCAAAUCCCCAUCCUUCCCUUUUCUCACUCUGUAAGUCUCAUUUCCUACAACCCUAGAGCACCGUUUCUCUCUCAUUUCUCUCAAAUUUGACUCAGGGAGAGAGAGGGAAGGGGGACAGAAGGGUUGACAGGUUGGAGGGAGAGGAUCGUCGGGAUUAGGGGAGAGGAUUUUCGGCAGGGAGGUAUGGGUUUAGGGAGAGAGAGAGUAAGGGAGAAGUAUGGGGUAGGCGGAUUUCCAGGGAUUUCUUUUCACCCCUUCACUCACCACGAACCCACCUUUCCCUUCUUUUCUUCCGUCCUCAAAUCUUCUGAUUUCCCUCUCACAAAAUACCCACCAAGGAAACCCUACUUUUGGUUUAUUUUGGGAUUUUGUUUGCGCUCUCGAUUUUCAGACGACGGGCCAAUUGGUUGAUAUUUGGAUUUCUUCUCCUUUUGUCGAAACGCACAAAUUUUGUUUCGGUGGGAUUGGUCUCGAAUAGCUGCGUGUGUCUACCUUUCCAAGGUAUGGUGUUCACCGAUGGCAUGUUUUAGUGUGUUUCUGUUUUUUUUUUCUUUGUUUUGUAUUUCUAAUUUAUCGUUUGCUGCUUGACAAUGGUGAUUGUAUGUUUUAGUUUGGAUGUUUUUCUGAUUUUGGUUUGGUCAGUUUUUUUGGGCUGCUUGAGAAAAUGUGAUCCCAUGUUUUGACUGAGUGAAAUAAUUAAUAGAUAAAAAGAGUGGAGAAUUAGUGUCAAGAGUAGUGAUGGAAAAAAUGAGGAAAAAAAUAUAGAUGUGGAAGAAAAAGGGGGGGGGGCUGGAAAUCGAGCAAGGUGAAGAGAAAAAAAAUAGGGGUUAAGUGAGCAGCCAAAAGAGAAAAAAAAUGAGGGGAAAAGGCUUAAUUUGGGGAGUGGGCAAAAGAGAAAAGCAAGGGAAGGGAGACAGAACAGGAACAAGGUGUGGUUUUGUUGUUGGUUUUAUCCAAAUUUUUGAUUUGGCAUUGGUUUGAAGCUUAUGUGUUAUUAGUAUAGUCUAAUUUAGUGUUGGUUUAUCUAGGUUUGUAGCUAAUUUAAUGUUAAUGUUGAUCUAGGCGUUUUAAUUUGUUGUGAACUUAUAUGAGUUUCGUUUUUUAAUUGUUAUUUUACAGUUGCUAGGGAUGACUUUGGCUUUUAUAUUGGUUUGGGUAUUUUUUUUUUUCAUUUGAAGAUUUAGUGUCAUUAUACACCUUUGCACCACUGUUUGUUCUGUUUUUCUCGGUUUCUGUAUAUAGUUUUGGUACAAUUGGACUGUUCUUUUUAACUUAAUUAAAGUUUUUGAGACUUAAUUGAAUGAAAGUUUAGUGUGUGUUUUGGACUAAUGGUUUUGUGUUGUUAUGUGGGUUUGUGAAGAUGGAUGGAUGUGUGGCUCGGUUGCAGGAGCUGCAGUACACAGUUUCGGGCGGUACGAAGGUGAUCUCAGGAGUGAGUCUCAGCCCUGGGAGUUCUAGAGGUUAUCUCAGGGCUAGCCUCCGAUGCAAACAAGAAACUGCAAGGUAAUUGAGAAUCUGAUUUUAAUUUGAUUUGUACAAACCAGGAACAAAAAAUCCCAGCUUUUGCUUGAAUUUGAAGUUUUUGAUUUUGAUAUUGGAACUGAAAUGGGUCUUUUGAUUUAUGCAGGAUUAAAGGCUCAGCCCCUAGAAAAUCUCCUGUUGGCAAGUUUCCAGCAAAGGCAGGAGGUAUCUCCCUCUCUCUCUCUCUCUCCCUAAAAUCAUAGACGUAUGGCCAAAUGUGUUUUUUGACAAGAAAGUUUAUCCUUCACUUUUUUUCAAAGAACAAAAUUGAGUUUAGAUUCAAAAUCUGAACCUUUUGUUUUUGAAAAUACGACAUUCUAAACAACAGAAGCUCAUUACUUUUUGUUUUUUAAUAAAGCCAUUACCAGUUUCUGAAUUGAUUCUACAUUUUACUCUGUUUUUAUGCCUAAUACCGUUUGUUUUCCAUUGGGUAGCUGUAUAAGUUUUCCAUAAGCUUCGAUCAUCUCCCCAAUAAACCCAGAGCCUCCUUCUCUCCCGCUAAGCAAAAGAAAAUCAAGGAGGCCUGCAACUUCGUUUGCAGUCCGCCACUGCAAAUCAGUCUGGAAACUGGAUUCAAAGGUAAAACACACCGAUGUCUUUGAUUUUGGUCUCUACUGCACAGUUUGACAGACAAAUGAUAAACCUAACACAUGCAUGCUUUGAUUUCCUUGGUAGGUCAUAUUUUUCACUUUCUGGAUGUGCAAAGUCUGGAUAGUACACAUCACCGGACCAAACCUUUAUCAGGUAAGGAAUUCCAUCGCGUUUGUUGAAAAUAUUUGCUUCCUUUCCUCUCAUGUAUGUGUAUGUAUGAUUGUAUGUGUGUGAUUUUAGAUUGUAAUGCAUCACAAAUUUGUGGCAUAAAAAUUGACAUUUGUAGACUUACCCUUUGUUUGGUGACUGUGAUAAUUGAGAGAAAGGAAAAUAAAAUUUCGAAGAUUGAUGCUUUUAUGUGAUUUCUUGGCUCUUUUUUUCAUAUGAUUUUCAUUGUAUGUGUGCCAGUGUAUGUCUCUUCUUGAAAAAUACAUGUUGAAAAUGGGAGAAAAUUUUGGACAUGACACGUUUAGAAGUGAGGUUUUUCUGAAUGAAGACACUUUUAUGAUUUGUUUGUAAUUUGUUUUGCAAAUGGGUAGGAAUGUCAUUCUAAAAGGAUAUUGGCAGGAGAGGGUGGAAUGUCAUUCUAAAAUAUGUGUAAUUCAAUUCUCUCAUUUUCUAUAGCAGAAUUGCGGAUUUCUAAAUCGAAAAGGAGAAAUAAACACUACAGCAGUUUAUGCAGAAGGAGCAUGUAAAAGAGAAGCACAGGUAAAGGUUUAUGAGGUCAGUUUGCUGUUUUCUUUUUAGUGUUUUCAAUUUGUUCCUUUUAGUCUGGCUGCAAUUUUUUAAUCUCUGGUUAUGCAUCAAUUUCUCUGCUUCUUUGUAAAUCUUGCAGGUGAGGACAACACACUUAUCGGGGCAAUGUCGGGAUGUUUAGGCUUGGGUGGAGACAUGGACUUAUGGAAGAGGUGAAGUAGCUUAGGUUUCUGUCAUUAGCUUUAUCUGUUCUAUGCAUCUCUGCAAUCUUACAAUGCUCCUUUAUUUAAUUGCAAGAUGUUGGGGACCGGUUACUGGAAUACAAGAUUUGGAACAAAAGUGGUUGACAAUGCAAGAGUCGAAAGCAAGUGUGAAAUUCACAUUGAAAAUGACAGGUGAGAAUGCUAAUCAUAUUCUAAAAAAAUGUUGGGUUUCCUGAUGAGUUCUCUAGCUGAAUUCAAGAGGCUAAAUUAGUGAUUUGGAGUUAAUUUUGUAAAUUUAUUGAAUAAAGUUAUUUGUUAUUUAGCUUAUCUUGCGUUUGGUUUGGUUUUAGGAGAGGGUUACGCAUGAUCCGUAGCUUCAUUCAACCUCGCUGUUUUCGUUAGAAUCACAAUUAAAGGUCAGUUUUUCCAACAUUUUUUUUGCUUUUUGCUGCAUGUUUGUGCAUGUUUGGUCUCUGAGAUUUUGUUUUUAGUCACUGUUGAUUUGUAGUUUAUGUCUUCCUUUAGCUACAUAUUGACACAUGUUUAUUCUCAGCAUUUUUUUGUUAUGGUAAGUGGUUUGGGGAGUUCUGUAUUAUUAUAUAAUCUUUGGGGCUAUUUUAAGUAAAAAUGAAAUGUUGACAUUGAUAUAGCAUACGGCACACUUAAUUCACACUCCUAUAUUCGGUUUUCAUGUUUCCAUUGCAACACUCUGCAUUUCCGAGCCAAUGAAUUUUUUGAUAAAGAUGUACUUAAAGCAAUUACAUGCUCUAUCAAGUAUGUUUUAUAUGUGGUUGUGGUAGUUGCAAGGAAAUGAAAUAUUUGUGCUGAUAAUUGGUAGUUUAAAUAUAUAGAAAUAGAGAAGAAUUAUAAAUGGAGCACCUAGGAUAUUUAACAUUGUUUUCUUUUCCAUGUAUUUUUUCUCAUGUUUAAUAUCUGCUUUUGCUUAUGCAUAUGAUUCAAGUGCUAUUUUUAUUAGUGUUAAUUUUGGGUUGCAUAUCAACAAACUAACCCAGUUAAUUUUGCUUAGUGUUCAUGUAUAACGAGAACUCUCAUUGCAUCAACUUGAACAAACAUUCUUCUACUUAGUUGCUUAGCUGCUGCAACAAGAACGAAACACUUUUUAUGUGUUUUUGUUUAACUGCUAAAACAGGUGAUUGGCCUCCAGGACAUAUAUUUUGCCAUCUUAACUUUAAAGGCAAUACAUAUGUAAAAUGCAUGUUGCUUAGGGAAACAGAGCAUUUUUUGCAACCACAUCUUUUGUAAUCAGCUUAGUUGAAUGUAUAUAAAAGUUAAGCUACUUAUCUUACCUACACCGAUCACUCAUCUAUCAUUUUUGUUCGUUCAUGAUUAUGUUGAAUUUUUUUUCAGGUUAAAUGUGUCUUAUUCAUGUAGUUAAGGAUGGUGCAUUCAAGUCCCGCAGCAACGCGCGGGCAUUUUUCUAGUAGUAUCGAAAACCCUCUGUUGUUUACCAAUCGAUCUCAAGCGGUCUAGAUUCGAUUUGUUUAAUUAGUACUGCAAGAUGAUCUUAUCUACUAAUCAUGUCUUAUCAAAUGAUUACCAUUUCAUCAUGCCCUUAGGGAUGCAUAGAGCUUCAAAAGUUUUCAAGUUGCUGCGCAUGUGUAGGUUUGAAGUCGUGCAAUGAUAUGUACGCGAAACUUAUGAGCAAACAAAAGCAAACAACUCUUAUACAUAAAUGUCGGCUGCCAGAAAAUCUCAGUAGUACCAGAGAAGAUAAGCUUGUAAUAAAUUUCUAAUUCUCAAAACAGAGCAAACAAGAGAAACAAGAUCUACAUAUAAGUACCCCUAGUUGGCCGGCACACAGGAUUUCUUUUACGAGCAUGUUCUUCAUUAUGGUGCUGUGUCCGACAUGCAUAUCCAUACCAGCAAUUUUCCCUGUUUGAUGCCUCUGUGGGUAGAUGAUAUUUGGGAAUCGAAAUCCGAAACCAGUACAAGAGGAAGGAGAUCAGCUUCUCAUAACAGUAAUUGCACGUAGGUGUCCCAGAAGUUAUUGCCUCAGCAUGAUUCAGGGGCAUCCUCGUUCGAUCAAUUUCUCUGUUGUUCAACUUUGCAAGCCAUUCUGCAAUAACAUCCUGUGAUGUUCUCCCCAACUGUACAGUACACUUCUCAGUGAUCACUUGUUCAUGUCGAUUGUUUUCAUGAGUUGAAGUAGGGAUUCCAGAGAUGGUCCAUUCUGAGAUUGGUUUAAAAGUCUCGCGACUGCACACAUGGUGAGAAUCACUUUGUGAAACCCCUUGCGCAUGCCAAUAUAAACUGCAAAAUGCCUUAUCACAUCCUAAACAGUGUUGAGGUACACUUAUUGGUGCACGAAGGCAUCAUUCCUCCGCAUGCUUGACAUUGCAGAUGGAUAGUGGUUUGAUUGCAGCGGAACGCACCAUAUUCAGUACCACAUUGAGGGCAUGGAUUUGAUGGAUUAUGAGCUUCUUCAUCCACCUGGGAGCGAGCCCUUUUUCUGCGAAGAUGUUUUCCAGAGUUUACGACAAUAUUAGAUUGUAUUGUUGCAUAAGAGUCUAAAAUUGCCACUUCAUCAUUGGUGCGUUUUAGUGAAUAGAAGAGAACAAGAUCUCUGAGCAAACUACAAUCUCAUAUGAAAUAAUUUCAACAUCCGGAUAUCUCAAGUCUGAUGGAACGAGCUUGGCCCAGAAUUCUUCACAGGGUUUUGCACCCGAGCUCUCUCCAACUUCUGCCAUCCCUUGAAUAUAUUCACAAAGGACCCAGAAACCAUUAAUUUAGAUCUCAAAGAUAAGUAACCGGCCAUUGUUAUGUUCAUUUAAAAAGAAACAAGUACUUAUAUAUUCAACUAUUUAUGAGCAACAGAGCAAUUUUAAUUUCUAAUUAUCGAACAAAAUCUUUACCGCUAAUUAGAUAAUUCAUCCAAGUACGAAAAGAAAACAGAUUUGCACUCAAACAAGACAGAUUCAUGAAAUAUGCUAUGGUAACGCCCCUAACAUUUCAACACCGAUAAACAUAUCAACUUCAUGUUUCAGACAUCCUACAACUACAUAUAUUAGAUCGUAACAAUUCCAACUAAAUGUAAAAGCUCUUAAAGACCUAGUUUGGGAGUGAGGUGCUUAAAAAAAAAACACCUAUGAAAAAAAGCUGUGAGGGUUUUAGGUGUUUGGUAAACUGAAAAAAAAGGGCUUAUUUUGGAAGCUGCUGUGAGAAUAAGCUGAAAUCAAAGGAAAAAGCUGAAGUUGCUAUUUGCAGCUUUGGAAAACUGGCUUUUUUUCAAAGCACACGGAGCUACAAUGCUCCUUUAAUGAAAAGACCCACUAUCAGACUGAUUUUCUUUCCAAAAGCACUUUUACAAAAAAGUUUACCAAACGCUCUGUUGAUUUAUUUCACAGCCGCUUAUUCUCACAGCACAGCCGCUUAUUCUCACAGCAGUUUUUUUUCAAAGCACAGCAAUACCAAACCACUCAAAGCAUAACGACAUACUAGCAAAAUUCAUGGAAGAUAGUAAGUGCCAAUUAACAAGAGAGUCAAAAAGGCUUGAGGAGAAGGGGUCCCCAGCAGCGGCAUCAUUUCUGGCCGGAAAAGGUUCAUUCUAGUAAUAUAAUUUAUACCACAGAACACAUACAAACAGAUUUAAGGAGACACAAUUGUCAUUCUAAAAGAGACACUUUCUCAAUUCUUGAAUUAAAACCUGGACUCCAAGAUUGCAAAACCACAGAAUGUGGUCCCCUUUACAAAAAUGUAUAUCAUGUUUACUCUAUGUUCAUAGUUUGAACCUUCGUUUAUGCAAUCUCGCUCUUGUUUUUGUUCUCUUGUAUGACCUAAUUUUCACACAAUUCUCACCGGAAAACCAAUAGAAAUAUUUAUGAAAAUUGAUAGGUCUCACUUGGAAAUUGUUUCAAAAACCCUAACAACAAAAAUGAAAAGUUUGCAACUUUGGCCAAUAAACAAUCAAACGUGAAAAGAAUUUGAAACUUAUCUAUUUCUAAACACGUUUAUAACAUCUUAAGAGACGCGCAAUGUUGGUGAUAAAAAAGAUCAUUCACAUGCGGAUAAUAAUGUGAUUAAAUUAAUUGUCAAAUGACUGUUUUUUUUAAACGAUAUUAUCGAUACUAAGGGGGAGAGGUGUGUUUAGCCUCACAAUGGGCUAGCAACAAUGUGAUUCAAUCAGUUGUUUAUUAAAUAUUAUUUUAUCUAUUUUAAACACGUUCAAAAUAUCUUAAGAGGCAUGUAAUGCUGGUUAUAAAAAAAGUAUUUCGCACGAGGAUAAUAAUGUGAUUAAAUUAGUUGUUAAAUGAUUUUUUUUAACAAACGAUAUUAUUUACACUAAUGGAGAGGGGUGGGCUUAGUCUCACAAUGAGCUAGCAAUAAUGUGAUUCAAUCAAUUAUUUAUUAAAUAUUAUUUUCUCUAUUCUUAAUGUAAAUUCUAUAGAGACCGAUUUUAUUAUGUGAAUUCAGCUGGUUUAAUUGGUUUAUGAAGGGUUUCUUCUAGCAUGAUCUAAGAUUAUUCAUUUACUUCAAAUAUUUAACUUUCAUUUUGUCAAUUUACACACAAUAUAUACAUUUAAAAAACGUGUAAGUCGUGUAUAGCACGUCGUGAUUCAAAAAAUAUCCUCUGCACGUGCGUAAGCAUAUGCACGGAGGCUAGUAUAUACUAAAGUGGAAUGAGAAAAACAUUGUUCAUAAGAAACAAUGUUUUGACGUUUUUGCCCUCAUUUUUAGUGUUUCUGUGUUCCUAGUUUUUGUGCUGUUGAAAUCCCCACAUUACCAUAUAGGCAUACGUGUGUACGGAAAAAUGUUUUUCACGCGUGGCAUAAGGAAAUUUUCUCUGCAGCACCGUGUUAUUCCCCUGGGAGUCUGCAGCACCGCUCAACCAAAUUUUCUCUCAUUCCGUACUUCUCCACCUCUUCAAUCGUGCUGCACCGUGAAUCGAAACAAAAAACUGCUCUUCCAAAUCAAUUUCAGUUAACUCAAAUCCCUAAAACCCAAAUUUCUCCAGACCAUUGGAAUCAGUUUGCCUUUGUUGUUGCUAAUCUACAGGUAAAGCUUAAAUUUACAUACAAUUUUUAAUUUUUCUUGAUUGGAAUUUGGAAAGAAUUACAGAAAAUUGGCGAUGUCCACCGAGUCGGAUGCGUGGUGGAGACUCGGAUGCUCGCUUCCCUGACGUCACUACGCAUCGAUAAACGCACAUCAUUUCCGACUACGUCACUUCUUUCUCUCGCCUCCUUUUCAUGGUUAGCUCCUCCUCCGUAUUUACUCAACGCCUAAUUUUGGCCUUUUUUUCUUCCUUCACUGAUUUGUUCUAGAGAUCGCAGAUUGUUGAGUCAGAGAAGAGGUACAUUUCCAUUUGGGGUUUUUUCCCAAUUGAUUGAUGCUGUAUUAAUUUGGAAUUUGCCCAAUUGGGGUUUGAGAUUUUUGGUUUAUAUGGUUGUUUUGAACUUUUGAGAAAACCCUUAUUUGUUUUAUUUUUUAAGAAAAUUAAUGAAAAUGAUUUGAAAUCUUUGAAUUUUAGAAUAAGAACAAAAUAAAGGGUAAAGGGAACAAUAGCAAGAUUGACUUUUUAGUGUAAAAAUGUAAUUUUUCGUUAAAGUGAACAAUAUCGAGUAUUUUUUGUUCUUUAAGAGGGGAAUAAUGAUAUGAUCUGUAAUUAGUGAUUAGCUUAAUCACUUAUUCUUGGGAUUAUUAGGCUUAUUCAUGUUUUAGUGGAGUUUGUUAUAACUGCUAGCUGGCAUGAGGAGUCAUGACUGGUAUAAGAGCACUAGUUCUGAGUAUUGUAAUCAGAUCAGAAUUUACAACAAAGAAAAUAAAUACAAAAAUAUUUGGAGCUCUGCUCCUUCAUCUCUCCUUCCCUCUUCUUCCAUAGCUUUCUUGUGCUACUUGCAGGUUGAUUAAGGGAAUUGAGAAUUGGGUCUUAUCAUAGUGGAUCUUGACGAGCGGGCGGGCGGGCGGGCGAGCGAGCCAAGACUUAGUGGUUUAAGCUGGAGAGGUUUAUUUGGAAGAACCAAAGCCGUUUGAGCCGAUGCUGUAGCAGAUUGAACCGGUUCUACGCAGACCUCGCCAAAUCUCAGCCAUCAGAUUGCUGUCCGGACGAUCGCACACUUUGUCCGCAACUUAGACACGCCCUUGCAGUUAUAGCACCAAGGUGGGCCUGGGAGCAAACGGCUGAGAAGAAUUGAACAGAAAUUGGGCCAAACAGGAGCAAAGCGCUGCGCCAGUUGCUGUGGAAGGGAAUGUUGCUGAUGAUGCUGGACUGGGCCCGCAUAAUUCAAGGGCUGCGCUAGAUGCUCAAGCUGCUCGGCAGAGGGAUGCCAGGUUCCACGACCAACACCGCGUGAAUUAUUGUUAAAAUUUCCAUUUGCAAAGAAAAGAUUGAUCAUGGCGUUGAAGAUUUUUGCUUCUGCAGAUCCUCCUGGGUCUUUGAUUAGUUGUUAUACAUUCUCUUAACUCUGUCACAAAAUUUCCAUUUGCAAAGAAAAGAUUGAUCAUGGCGUUGACGGUGGUAGGUGGGGCCGCUCUCUCGGGUUUCUUCCAGCAAGUAUUUGUGAAGUUGGAUUCUCAGGAGGUCAGGAACUUCAUCAGAGGAAAGAAACUGACUGAUGGGUUGCUCAAGAAGUUGAGGAUCAAGUUGAUGUCUGUCAGUGCUGUUUAUGAUGAUGCCGAGCAAAAGCAAUUACGUAACCCACAUGUGAGGCUGUGGCUGCACGAGCUUAAAGAGGCCGUCCUUGAUGCUGAGGACCUACUGGACGAGAUCAAGACAGAAGCGUUGAGGCGGAAAAUUGAAGCUGAAUUUGGAAGUAGCACAAGCAAGGUACAAGACCUCAUCUCUGCUUCUUUCCAUGCUUUUGAUGAGUCUGUAGACACCAAGAUAGAGGAAAUUCUUGAGAGGCUAAGCUUCAUUGUAGAACAAAGAGAUGCCCUUGAUUUGAAAAGAGGUAGUAGACACAAAAUCUCACAAACAUUGCUUUCAACUUCUUUAGUAGAAGGCUCUGAUGUGUAUGGAAGAGAUCGUGAGAAGGAAACCAUCAUUCAACUAUUGUUAUCAAAUGAUGUCACUUGUAGUAAGAUUGGCAUUAUUCCCAUUGUGGGCAUGGGUGGGAUCGGAAAGACCACCCUUGCUCAGCUCUUAUACAAUGAUGAUAGAGUGCAGCAGCAUUUUGAGCUCCAGGCAUGGGUUUGUGUUUCUGAUGAAUUUGACGUUGUUAAGAUCACACAAACAAUUUAUGCAUCAGUCACUUCACGAACCUGUGAUGACCUAAACCAGCUUCAGGUCAAACUCAAAGAUGCUUUGGCGGGGAAGAAGUUUCUUUUUGUUCUUGAUGACGUUUGGAAUGAGAAUUACAAUAUUUGGGAAUCCUUAAGGCGCCCCUUCGAGUCUGGAGCUCAUGGAAGUAAGAUCAUUGUCACCGCAAGGAAUGGUGGUGUUGCAUCUACGAUGGGUACUCUUCAAACCCACUAUUUAAAGCACUUACUUGAGGAAGACUGUUGGUCUUUAUUUGCAAACCAUGCCUUCAAAGAUGCAAGUGUUAUUGUAGAUCCAAAUCUGGAGGUAAUUGGAAGACAAAUUGUGAGCAAGUGUAAAGGCCUUCCUUUAGCUGCAAAAUCGCUCAGUGGUCUCUUACGCUCUGAAUCAAAUGUGGAGGAAUGGGAAAAUGUGCUCAAAAGUGACAUAUGGGAGUUGUCAGAUGCAAAGAUUGACAUUUUGCCGGCUCUAUGGCUAAGCUACCAGUACUUGUCUCCGGAGCUAAAGCGUUGUUUUGCUUAUUGUUCGACAUUUCCCAAAGAUUAUUUAUUUGACAAGUCUAAAUUAAUUUUGUUGUGGAUGGCCGAAGAUCUUAUACAACCCCAAAAGAAGACUAGGUUGGAAGAUGUUGGAAAGAAAUACUUUGAUGAUCUAAUCUCACGGUCAUUUUUUCAAUACUCGUCUUCAAAUGAUUGUUUCAUCAUGCAUGAUCUGAUGCAUGAUUUGGCGACUUACGUAUCUGGAGAAUUUUGCAUUAGAUUGGAAGACCACAACUUCUCAUUGGACGUUGUGAGCAAGGGUCGUCAUUUUUCUUAUAUGCAAUAUUCAUCUAAUGUUGAUUAUGAGAGAUUUGACACUAUUUAUGAAGCUAAGUAUCUGCGCACCUUCAUUCUUGGCAAUCACUUUCCAUCGCCGAAAGUACGACUUGAUCUCCUUUUAGUGCUACAUUGUUUAAGAGUUCUCAAACUACGUGGGCAUGAUAUCACGGAGUUGCCUGAUUCGAUUAGCAACUUGAAGCAUCUACGGUACCUUGACUUGUGGUUCACUCCAAUCCAGAAAUUACCUGACACCGUAUGCAGUUUGUAUAAUUUACAAACGUUGUUGUUGUCAAAUUGUAUAUAUCUAGCUGAGUUGCCCACCGAUUUGAGAAGACUUAUCAACUUGCGCCAUCUUGAUUUCAGAGGUACAAAAUUAAAAAUGAUGCCCCCCCACAUGGGCAAGUUGAAAGAUCUCCAAACAUUUGAAGGUGAGUUUGUCUUGAGCAAAGAUGCCGGGGGAAACAUUGAUGAGUUAAAGGGGUUUCAGCAUUUGAGUGGAAAUCUUCAUGUGUCAGGGCUUCAAAAUAUCAAACGUGCUGAGGAUGCUUUGGAGGCCAAACUGAGGGACAAGAAGCUUAGUGACAUACGUUUGAAAUGGGAAGGUGACACUAUCGAUUCUGAAAACGAUAGCCGAGUGCUGGGCAACCUGCACCCCAAUACAAACCUAAAAGUACUGGUUAUAGAAGGAUACGGAGGUACAAAGUUUCCAGGUUGGUUAGGAGAUGAGUCUUUCUCUAACCUCGUCACUAUCCGACUUGAGACUUGUGGAUAUUGUUUCUCCUUGCCAGCAUUGGGGCAGUUACCCUCCCUCAAAAGGCUUGAAAUUUAUGGGUUAAAUGGAGUGGAAUCAGUGGGGUCUGAGUUUUAUGGGGGAAUUAAACCUGCAUUUAAAUCUCUAGAGUUUCUGAGUUUCUGCAGUAUGCGGGAAUGGCAAGAGUGGUGUUUCCCUGGAGGUGAAGAAGAAGAAGGCGGACAUUUUCCUAAUCUUUGCGAGCUUAGUCUGGAGAACUGUCCCAAACUAACGGGGAAAAUACCGUUAUACUACUUCCCAAGACUUGAGCGGCGUACGUUUGGAGGAAGUUAAUAUCGAAUCCCUUGCUUGUUCGCAAGAAUGCAAUAAAUUCAAUAUUGAACUCCCAUCCCUCCGUGAGUUGAAAAUAUCAGAUUGCCCGAAUCUGGUAUGUUUUGUGGGUGGUGGAGUGCUGCUUGCGCCCAACUUGGAGGAGAUAACUAUUUGCCAUUUUAAGAACUUGUGGUCAGUGCCCGAAGAUAUGCAAAUCUCGCUCCCAUCUCUUCCGUCUCUGUCCAUACAAGGGUGUAAAGAAUUUAAAUCAUUUCCGGAAGAAUCUAAAUUCCCAUCCCUCGUUGUUUUGAAGAUACAGGGAUGCCCAGAAUUUGUGGGUUUCCCCCAUGGAGGAGGACUGCAAGCGCCCAACUUGAAGGAGAUGGAAAUCAAAGAAUGUAACAAAUUCAGGUCACUGCCAGAGGAGAUGCAAAUCUCUCUCCCAUCUCUCGAGUCUCUGUGUAUAAGGGAUUGUCCAGAAUUGGAAUCAUUUUCGGAAGGGGGAUUGCCGUCUAAAUUGCGUUUUCUCAGUAUCUGGAGUUGUAAAGAACUGAUGGCAAACCGUAUGCGGUGGGGUCUACAAACACUCACCUCUCUCAAAUACUUGGAUGUCAGCUUCAGAGGAUGUGAAGAUGAAGAAAUUGGCGAAUCAUUUCCAGAAGAGGGGCUGCUGCCAACCACUCUCACUUCUCUCGGAAUCUACAAUCAUCCGAAUCUGAAAACCAUUGACGGCAAGGCGUUAAGACACCUCAUCUCUCUCGAGAAGUUGGAGAUUUAUUAUUGUCCUCAACUCCAGAGCUUGCCAGAUGAAGGGCUACCCACUUCUCUUUCUCGUCUAGAUAUCUUCCCAGUGUGAUUGCUAAAACAACGGUGCCAGAGAGACACGGAAGAAGAUUGGGCCAAGAUUUCUACAUUCCCAACAUAACGAUUUCUGGCCGAAAGAUAUGAUUUGCAAUGGUACGUAAUUCGUCAACGUGCGUUUAUGUGUUUAUUUACGAUCUGGCUGUGAAAAAUUUAAAUCAUAAACAUGUUUCAAAUGUUAAUAUUCUCGUAAUAACAAAUUUUACAGGUACUCCAGUCCCAUAUAAACAUGAAAGUAUUUGCGAUAGAAACAUACGGAGCUACAAAAAUUCCAGAUGACUCGUUCAUUCUCUCAUCUUGUUACUCUUCGACAUGUGGAUUGUGAAUAUUGUUUUUCAAUGCCAGCAUUGGCACAGCUACCAUCUCUCAGAAGGCUUGAAACUGAUGGGUUAAAUGGAGUGGAAUUGUUCCUCGUUUCUUACUGUGUCUUACGGUGGUUCUAUUAUACCACAGUUUGUUGAACGAACUAGUCUUCGGUGAAAAACGAGCUUCAACAAGUUUACGAGCCCUAGUUUCCGAAUUUCCUUUUUCAAGUUUGUUUGCCAAAUUAUGUCUAUUGAGAGGUAGAUUUUGGUACUUUGUGGAAUUCGAAUUCAAAUGUUUGGUUUGUAAAAUAUGGAUGAUGAUUUCGUUUCUGUGGAACUGUGAAUCUAUGAUCAUGCUUGAAUGUUGUAAGCCCAGAGUAUCGAAAACCCUCGGUUGUCUACUAAUCGAUCUCAAGCGGCCUAAAUUCGAUUUGUUUAAUUAGUAUUGCAAGAUGAUCUUAUCUACUAAUCAUGUCUUUAUCAAAUGAUUACCACUUCAUCAUGCCCUCAGGGAUGCACAGAGCUUCAAAAGUUUUCAAGUUGCUUCGCAUGUGUAGGUUUGAAGUCGUGCAAUGAUAUGUACGCGAAACUUAUGAGCAAACAAAAGUAAACAACUCCUAUGCAUAAAUGUUGGCUGCCAGAAAAUCUCAGUAGUACCAGAGAAGAUAAGCUUGUAAUAAAUUUCUAAUUCUCAAAACAGAGGAAACAAGAGAAAGAAGAUCUACAUAUAAGUGCCCCUAGUUGGCCGGCACACAUGAUUUCUUUUAUGAGCAUGUUCUUCAUUAUGGUGCUGUGUCCGACAUGCAUAUCCAUACCAGCAAUUUUCCCUGUUUGAUGCCUCUGUGGGUAGAUGAUAUUUGGGAAUCGAAAUCCGAAACCAGUACAAGAGCAAGGAGAUCAGCUUCUCAUAACAGUAAUUGCACGUAGGUGUCCCAGAAGUUAUUGCCUCAGCAUGAUUCUGGGGCAUCCUCGUUCGAUCAAUUUCUCUGUUGUUCAACUUUGCAAGCCAUUCUGCAAUAACAUCCUGCAAUGUUCUUCCCAACAGUGCAAUACAUUUCUCAGUGAUAACUUGUUCAUGUCGAUUGUUUUCAUGUGCGGAAGUAGGGAUUCUAGAGAUGGUCAGUUCUGAGAUUGGUUUAAAAGUCUCGCGAAUGCACACACAGCGAGAAUCACUUUGUGCAACCCCUGCGUGCCAAUAUGUACCACAAAAUGCCUGAUCACAUCCUAAACAGUGUUGAGGUACACUGUUAUUACUUCAUGAGGCGUCAUUCCUUCGCAUGCUUGACAUUGCAGAUGGAUAGUGCUUUGAUUGCAAACCCCACCAUAUUCAGUACCACAUUGAGGGCAUAGAUUUGACGCAGUACCAGCUUCAUCAUCCACCUGAGGGCGAGCCCUUAUUCCUUGAAGAUGUUUUCCAAAGUUUACAAUUCAGAUUAUAUCGUAUUGUCGCAUAAUAGUCUAAAAUUUCCACUUCGUCAUUGGGGCAAAAAAUCCGCUUUUAGUAUUUCCUCCGCAAUGUUGAGCAAGAAGUGAUCAUUUACUACAAUAUCUUCUCAUUGUGUUUUGUUCUAAUAGUUGUCCUAUUUGUUUCUUUUGUCUACCGUACUUUAAACUACCAUCACGAACAUACGAAAUUACUGUCUAUAGAGCUUUUCGGUUUUCUGGUAUCUGUUACAGCUUAAUACUAGAAAAAUUGCCCCCGCUCUGCUGUGGGGUUUCAAACUAUAAUUGACAACAGCCAUGAAUAAUAUUCAUAGAAAAAUUCACUCAAAAGGCAGCAGCAACACAAUCGCAUUCUCAAAUGCAGCAAUUUAGACAACGCACAUUUUACUUGAGUAAUUCCCACAAAAUCACAAAUUAACAGUCAUCUCCAAAUAAUUGAAAAAUCAAGAGAUAGGUGAAUCGAUACGGUAAAAUAAGCAGUUCAAUUUGAUUUUACAUUCUAUUAAGUUAACAUCAAGAGCCAAUAUAUUUAUGGUUAUGGUUUUCAAUCAGUGUUUUAUUGUCUUCUUUUUAAAUUAGUGGUUCUUUUCAAAUACAAAGUUUAGUCUUCUUAGCAAAGUCAUUAUUUUUUAUAGUGGUUGGUUGAAAUAAAGAGGUAGUAUGAAAUUGUGACCAUUAGACAAUAGUAUGGCUGUGAUCUAAUAGUAAAUGACCUUAAUUUCACACAUAAGUUUGGUUUCAAACUUACUACAUAAAAACAAUGUCAACUUGCAAGACACUAUAUGAACUGGCUGGAUAGCUAGUUGAAUAAGCUUGUUCCCCUGUUUUCCCUUUCUUUUGAGUAAUUUCCUCCUUCCCCUCCCUCCCCCCAAACCAUCUUCAUCCCAUUUUGCACUUUCCCAAAAGCCUUUUCUCUAUCCCCGUCUUCACUUUAUCACAUGCUUUUUUAUCCUAGCCAUAAUUAGACUAAUGGGAUUUAUACCUAGAGACUAAUGUGCUUUUUCACAUGCUUUUUUCUCUCAAAAUUUAUAGAAAUAUGAAAAUGAUCAUCACAAAUUUCAAAUCCUGCAAUAACCUAAAUUAAAACAAUUAUUCAAAUUCCUAAAUUAAAACAGCAUUUAGAAGCACUAUAAACUCAAAUCACAAACAUCAACAACAUGGUGAGAAUGAAGCUUUAUCUUAUAGAAAAUGAUAAAUCUUUCUCAACCAAUAUGCUAAAAAUGUCCACCACCAGUAUAUAAUAAAAAAACAGAAGGCUAACUUCAUCACAUAGCACCACCUUUAAACGCAUUUCUUUCAGAAAUUAAAUUAAGAAAAAAUUUGACAUUCACAUGCCACUCAUUAAGAAACUAAUACUAACUGAAGUUGUAUAUUGUAAAAUGCAACCGCUUUUAGAAUUCCUAAGUCAUAUCUGUUAGCAAGAAACCCAUACUAACUCAAGUUGUAUAGUGUAAUAACGCAACUGCAAAAAGACCAAGCUUCUGCUACUAAAAAGCUUUUACAAAAUCAUAAAACUCUUAACAGUUUGAACCCUACCGGAAAGUUUAUAUGAGUUGAAGAACAGUUGUACUUAAGUGCAGCAAGAUCAUAACCUCUUGCAGUUUCUCCUCCAUGUCAAAACCACCUGCAGUCCAAAUUAAGAAAGAUUCAAUGCCAGAUCAAGAACAAAAUAGUAAUAAUUUAAACUAAAAUCCUUAAUUAUUGUUGCAGAGAGAAUUCAUAUCAAGAUUAACUACAAUAUUUAAUUCGAACGGAAUCCAAAAGUAGCAUAAAUAUGAAAGGUAAAAAAUUAAUAGCAAAAGUCACAUUUCAGCAGCGAUUAAUAGCAGAAAUCAAAGUUCAGUGGCAGGGACCAAAUAAACCUCUGGAUUUCAGACUACUUAACAAAUUAGACAAACACAUAAUCCAAUUUCAUCUUUUUCCACUCAUUUUUUUCUUGCAACACUGUUGGGCACCAAACAUCACCAAAACCGAGCUCGCUGACACAUAAAUAAGCUACCGUACACUUUUUGAUGAGGUUGGCAGAGAGCUCAAUUUAGUGGCGCUCGUACCCUUUGAAUACGUCGCUCGUCUUUCCCUAAGUUUCUCUCUGCAUUCAACCCAUCACACAAUUUCAACAAUAAUUCAGUUUGAACGAUCUGAAAUCAAUGGAAUCGGAAGUAAAUACCUAUUUCGAUCGGAGAUUUGAAUGGAUCGCCGGAGACGAUGGCUGAAGAGCAGUGGCGGGUGUUUAUUUUUUGUUCUAGGUGGUGGUGGCGGCGGCUUGCUGUCGAAGCGAUUGAAACGGAUGGAAACAACAAUGUGCGCGAAAGGAAACCUCUCUCUCUACAUGUGACCCUUCCUUUCACCGCCAAAAUAAAGCAUCAAAACACCUUGGUUGCUCCUGUUAGAAGAGCCUUACUUGCUACUGUUCAGUGCCCCCACCCCUCCCUCUUUCUCUCUGCCUCUGCAACCCGCCUCUCUCUUUCUAUUUUUGCCUUACCGAAUGUCAGACCAUCCUCAGUCAAUCAUGUCAGUGGAAUCCUCACAAAAUCCCUCACUCAAUCGGGUCAGUGAUAACCUCCCUCAAUUUCCUCCCUCACCCUCGGCAACACCACCACUCUCCCAAACCUGAGAAUGACCAAAAUACCCACGCAAUUUCCAAUCCGAUGCGUCGGAUUUAGAAAGUAGAUAGGAUAAAAUAGGCAUUUGACGUUCAGGGCUUUAACCCAUUCAAUGGUCACCAUCGAAGCCCACUUCGGGCCCAAAACCAACAGCCCUAAAAGACCCAAAUUAUGGUCAGCGGUAGAGAUGUAAAUAUUCAGCCAAAUCUGAUGGCAUUAUUGUAAGUAACGUGAAAUAGAGGGGCAAAAACUUGACUGUAGCUACAGUCAAAUUCUUCCUCAGUUUUAGAAUAGAUAAUGUUGAGCCUAUGACAGCCAAAAUACAUAGCUUGUUUUCUGUUGAGACGCUUCUCUCAUAUCUGGCCAAUUAAUGAAGAGCAAACUACGACACCAUUAUUCAAAAUUUGACAAAGUGAAGUUUUCCUCUAGGAAUCUUCACCUUUCAAGCUAUAUAUUUUCUGGUUCUCAAUUCUUACAAUUUUCAUUGUUUUGUUGCUAACUUGUUUACUCACCGCUAUUCAAAAUUUGACUCUUUCUUUUGCGCUAAGUUGAUUUGCCCUGAAAUUUGCUAAGAUUGCUCAAACGUAUUUCUUUUACAAUUUUCUCUUGUGUUUGCUUUAAUCGCGUACUGACGUUGGUGAUUGAGAAAAUGACAUUGUUGAUGUCAAUGCUCAACUUUACUGUUUACUUUUUGUAUAGCUAAGUUUAUUGUAGCUCGAGAUACGUUCUUUAUAUGUGAGUAAGUCUUCCACCAAAUCAGAAACUAAAGCGUUUUAUAUACGUUGAAACGUGAUUGGAAGAUGCGUUGUCAUCCAUUCUUUUCGAUUUCCUGUGCUUGAGUUAUAUUAUUUCCUCCAUGAUUUGAAGUCGUUUCCGAAGUAUAUUUAUUGGGAUUUUGAGAUGCGCGUUCUGGUACUUUUUGGAAUAUGACUUGAAACUUUCAGAGCAAGCGCAAACCAGAGUUUACCGUUCUAAUUCCUCUUUUGAUUAUACAGUUAUAUUCUCAAUUGUCAUUACCUCGAGAUUACUUGGUAAUGACGUGAUUACACAGUUAUAUUCUCAACUUGCUAUUACCUCGAGAUUACUCGGUGGUAGUGACAUGAUUACACAUUUAUAUUCUCAGCUUGUCAUCAUCUCGAGAUUACUCGACAAUGACAUAAUUAGAUUUCAGCUUACACUAGUUACGGCUAGUGUAUGAUUUUGUAUGCAUGUAAGAUAGUGUCAGAGACCCAUUAAGUGUGGUCCUUCGGGGAUGCAAUAAAUGUGGUUACUUGCAGGUGUUUUAAUUUGGGCUUAUCCCUAUUUCGGUAGAUUUUAAUAGUUGAAAACUUGAGUUAUGACUUUAUGCAUAUUAUGGAUUCGUCACCAAUCCACGUGAUGGCCAGCUGAUAGGAUUUUUAGUAUUUGCAUAAAGAGGGUUAAAAAUCAUACAAAAUACUUGUAAGAGAACAAGGUAGUUGUAGUAAAAAUGCUCAUGUAAGGUCGUUCCCACAAGGAUUAUCUAAAACAAUUUAUGUAAAAAUAAAAUCUUAGUUAAUUAUUUGAAAACAAAGUUUGAAAAGAGUGGUUUUUCAAUCUAAAUAAUAAAAACGAAUUUAAUAAAAGUAAUUGAGGAAAAUCAACAAGAAAUUAAUUUUAAAGAAAUCAAAUUAAAAAGAAAUGGCCUUGAGAAAUAGAUUUGUAAAAGCAUUAGGGUUCCACUGUCAUCUUAACAACUCUUUGUAGAUUCACUAAUUACUUAUGAAUUACACAUGCAACUUUGAAUGUUAGGUUUUCCUAAUGCAUAUUUAACUUGUGGCAUUCAAGAUAGAACGUAUAUCAAACAUGCAAUCCGUCUAUAGCAUUCAUAUCAAAUAUAAACAUGCAUGACUCAUUAUGUUUUGUGAAAACCCUUUGAAAAAUCAUGCUACCUUUAAGACAUGGCAUUCGCCCUAAUUGACUUACAAUUAUUAAUCAUAAGAAGCAUUCCUCAAUUUCAAGGUGACAUUCCAACAUAAAUUGCGUCUGAUUGCUUAUCUAAACAUUCUAAUGGUAGCAAAGCAUUAAAACAUAGAGACUAUUUAAAUGCAGUGAUUAAUAAUUCAAAGCAUGCAUACAUAAUAUCAUAAGCAAUAAAAUAAAAACCACAUAUUCAUGCUAAGGCUAAUGGCCCCACCCUAGCAAAAGAAAGUUAAUUAUGCAUAUUCAACCAAAAGAGUUUUAUUGAAAUAGAAAAAGAGUGAAAACACCUUGUAGAAUAAAGUUUGAAAAUCUCUUAAACUUUGGCCAAAAUUCUCUCUCAUAUAUCACGUUGAAAAGAAGAACAUAGGGCCGGCCACAAUGGCUUAUUUAUACUACUUAGAAAAUCCAAUCCUUCCUAGAAAAUGACUUAAAAUAAAAUUAGGAGACCAAAUAAAUUGAAAUAAAUUAGAAAACAUAAUCCUAAAUUGACUAGGAUAAUCAGCUCAAAAUCUGCACAACGACGUUUUGGAUCCAAAUCUCCUCCAAAAGUGGCCCAAAAUAGCUGGAUUUAAAGUUUCAAAUAAUCUGAACACUUCUCCAGAAGGUCAUGAACCCAACAGAGGUCAUCUUAGGCUCAUAAAAUCGUAAUUAAGCCAAAAAAGUCACUUUUCAGCAUCACGCAUUGCUUUUUUAUUUCAUCGCUAGAAAAUAACCACUUGGUAGAAAAAAACCAAAAUUUUGACACGAACGAGCUAAAGGACUCACGAACGUCCUCCAAUUUGAAUCAAUUUAAAAUUCACCCGUUUGAUCACGUUUUGCUCCAAAGGAUGUCAAAUGUUUUAUAUUGAAAAUAUAAAGUUAAGUAUCAAAAUUAUACCAAAAUAAUUACCAAAACAUACUAAAAUAGGAUAAAAUAUAUAAUAUGACAGACCAAAAAGCUAUAUGGUAGGUGUGCCUGCUUUGUGACUAAAGUUCGCUCUGCUUUUGACCAAAGGCUCCUCCAUGCCUUGUGAGAUUUCCAAUCAGCUUCCAGCCGCCAUAAUACGGCACUAUUAGUAUUGUAUCAUUAUAUCUAUACGAAAACUUCAGUUGAUGGGACACGGUUUACCAACAGUGAUUUCACGAAAAUACCUUUGGUUUUUCUUCCCUUUCCUGCUUUGCUUUUUAAUCUUAAACAGCGGAUUUACAAAUUUCCCCUUACUAUUUGUUGGCUGGGGGUGCCACUACCUCUUAGAAGAUACCUGUUUGUUCCAUUUGCGUCCAGAAUCUCCCCAGUUCUCUCUAUCACAAACCACGAACCAAAAAAUCCUCUCUCUAAAAAGACCACGAACCCCAGCACAAUCUCUCUCAAAACCUGUUAACCACAACACAAUCCGGUCCCGAUUCGAAGAAAGCUUUAAGCCCAGAAAAAGUUCGGUUUCAUGGUGAGUUCUCCUACCAAUUUGGGGCUUCUUUUUGUUUUUUCUUUUUUUCUGGGUAGCAUGCAGUCUUUUCUGAGUUAAUGGUCGAGGCUUUGUUAUAAAAAAGAGUAGUGGUUGUGGGUCAGUUAGGUACUCAAGAUUCUUGAAUUCUAGAUGUGUUGAAUUUGGUUUUUUUUUUCACUAAUGGUUUUUUUUUCACUAAUGGCUUGCUUCAUAGAAUUAAUACAAAUACAAAAUGGAAAAAUGAUUUUAAUCCAUAAAUAAUAUUCAAAUACUUGAAAAGUUUGUUUUAAAUUGGGUUUGGUUUCAUUGGUUUUUCUGAUUUUGAAACUUUUGUUUUCAGGCUCCAAAGGCUUUUAGGGGCCUGUUUGGUAUGAUAUUAAAAAAAAAUCAUUAUUUCUCAAAACAGUUUUUUAAGAAUAUCUUUUAAAAACAAUUUUCUUUUAAGAUUCAAAAAUUUGUUUAGUAUGAGAUUUAAAAUUAUUUUUAAAUCUUAGAUAAGAUUGCUGAAAUUAAGUAUGGUUCCUUUGCAGGGGAGUUUGUUUUGAUUUUUUGUGGAAGAAUUCCAGUUUCCAGCGCUUCGUAUUCUUCAAUUACAGGUAAAUGAAUGUUGCAUGUGAAAUUUUUUUUCAACAAAUAAAGAAAACCCUUUCGUUGGGUUGGGCGAAGCCAUAUUGCUUCUAUUGGCAUAAAACUAUACAGCUGAAGAUUUUCUGUACUUAAUUAUCAAAGUAUGCGGUGGUUUGAUAAUUAAGUACAGAAAAUCUUCAGCUGAUAUCCUUCUUCUCUUUGCGUGAUAAAAUCAUGUUUUUUGGAUUAUGAUGCUUAUUCUGAUUCUUAUCUGUAAACCAUUGAUGAUAUAACAUUAUAGGCUUGGGGUAGUAGGUUUUGUAGUCUUUUUCCUGAAAUAUAACUGAGUACUUCAUAAUCGUUGCAUUCCUUGGUUUGUGAUUUUGUUGCUCGAGUACCGAGGUUUAUCUUUUGGUGCUCUCUGAUUGGUUCUCACAUUUGAGUCAUCUCACCAAAUCAUUAAUGUAGAUUUCCUCUUGAAAUUUUAGGUAGGUGGCGAUCUCUGCUUGGCUCUAUCAGUUGAUUCACAUAACCUAAUAAUUGAAGUCUUCUUUUCCUUGGGUCGGAAAAAUGGCAAUAAUUCUACUUGAGUUGAUAUUUCUUAAAGAAAAACUAAUGAAAAAAAAAUCAAAUCUUUACAUUUUAAUAAAAAAUCAUCUACUAACUUUAUUUAAUGAUAAAGACAAAAGAAUUAAAAAAAAACAUAAAAAACCCAACUUGCGCUGGGCGCAUCCCCCAACCCCCUUCCACACUCCACUUUUUUUGAUUGUUUGAUACAUUAAUAUAUUUUUUAUUUAUUUUAUUUUUGCUAAAAUAAGAAAAAGAGUUCAAACUGAAUUACAUUCCCCAGUUUUAUAUUUGUGGUGUUUUUUUCCCAAUAAUAGUCAAGAUGAUGAGAAAUUUUUCAAUGUGACCGGAGCACGGGGUGGUACACCACGUGUCUCUAUACAAGUUGUGAGAUUCUUGUGUUAAAAAAUUAAGUACACAAAAAAUAAAAAUUUUCACUACUUACAUAAUAACACGUGGUGUGCCACUUGUGUUAUGGGCACAAGGUAAAGUUUCUCCAAGAUGACACUCAAGCUCAAAAAAUUGGAUGGAGAGUUACAUUUAUUUUUGUAGGUAUGUAAAAAAAUGUGAGGAAAUUUUAAUUUAGUAAUUGAAAACAACUUUUUAAAUAUAAUUUUCGAGAACAUAAUCUUCUCAAGGAUUUGAUCUAAUGGAUCAUUUAUGGGUUUAUCGUUUUGGGCGCAAUGAGUGCUUUUACAGGACCAAAAAGAGUAAGUUUCAAACCUUAUGAAACUGAACCAAGAAGUAAACACUAUUUAUAAAAGUUGACCAAUAAGCAGACACUAUUUAUGAAACUAAAUCAAUAAGCAGACACUAUUUAUGAAAUUGAACCAAUAAGUAUACACUAUUUAUGAACGAAAACAAGAAUUAGACAUUAUUUCUAAAACUAAACCAAUAGAUGAAAAUUAUUUAUGAAACUGGACUAUACAAUAUUUACGAAACUGGACUAAGAAUUAGACAAUAUUUAUGAAACAAGAUCAACUAGGCAUUAUUUAUGAAAGUUGGCAAAUAACUAGGCACUAUUUAUGAAACUGGACCAAGAAAGAGACUAUUUAUGAAAUUAUACUAAUUACUAUACAUUAUUUAUAAAACUGGACCCAAUAACUAGGCUUUAUUUAUCAAACAUGAUCAGGAACUAGACACUAUUUAUGAAACAUAAUCAAGAUUUGGACACUAUUUAUGAAAUUGGACUAAUAAAUAUUGUAAUACCGUUCAGAUACUGCAAUUUAAUACAGUGUUUGGUUUCAUGCAUGCACGGGUCUUGUGUGUUAGGUAUUUUUUAUUUUUAAUUUAUAUAUAUAUAUAUAUAUAUAUUAAAAUUGUAUCAUUUUCAUUAAAAUUUAAGUUAUUUUGUCCUUUUGGAAAAUGUACCCAUGUUUUGGUACAAUAAAUUUUUUACUAUUAUUUAUGAAUGUAUAUACACAAUAUAUUGGAGAGUAUAAUUUAUCAUUUAAUAUUUUUAAUUCCACUAAUUAUGGGUUUUAUUUAAAAUCUCAUAAAUAUAAACAAUUAUAACUACAAAUUUCAAUUUUCAAUUUAAGCAUAUAAUAACUUACAUAUAAAUACAUUAUUUCAUUAAUGUCAGAGACCUAGAUCAAAAGCUGAAAACCAACAAGUUUAAUAUAAGAUCCAUUCUUAGUAUAACAUGUACCCAUUUCUUUUUAUAUAAGAUCCAUUCAAUUUUUUUCUAAUCUAUAUUUUAAACUUCUAUGGGUAUAUUCUAUUUUGUUGAUCUAAGAAUGUAUCCCUGUCAAGUUUAAUCAAAGAAAUUUAAUAAUGUUAUUAAGUCUUUUUUUUUUUUUUGUGGUUUUGGAAAAUGUACUCAUGUUUUGGUACAAUAAAUUUUUUUACUAUUAUUUAUGAAUGUAUAUACACAAUAUAUUGGAGAGUAUAAUUUAUUCUUUAAUAUUUUUAAUUCCACUAAUUAUGGGUUUUAUUUAAAAUCUCAUAAAUAUAAACAACUAUAACUACAAAUUUCAAUUUAAGAAUAUAAUAACUUACAUAUAAAUACAUUAUUUCAUUAAUGUCAGAGACUUAGAUCAAAAGCUGAAAACCAACAAGAUUUCAGUUAAAGAACAAUGAUAGUUAGGGACCGCAUCCAAACUCUCCCCUUAGAAAAUUAUUAUUCUAAGCAAUGCACAUCUAAAACUAUGAUAUCUCAUCUUAUCAAUCUUAGAUUUAAAUAGUGACUAGAGAUUACAAAGAGAGAUGAAAACAAGUUUAAUAACAAUUAACGAUUUUGUUAUUGCAUGAUUCAGUGAGUUUCUUACUAAAUAACAUCGUAGAGGAGAAAUGAUCACUUGUAGGAAAAUGAUUCAAUGAGUUUGUUACUAGAUAACAUUUGAUUCAUUUUUUAUUUGCUCAAUAAAACGAUUAAAAAGAAAUUAGAGUGUGUAUAAGUAACAAAUUAAUGAGAGUUUGUAAACUGUAAAAAGAAAUGAGAGUAUGUAAUGGGAUCGUUAGCAACAUAAUCAAGAAUAAUCAUAUGUUUAUCUCAUUGAAUCAGCAUUUUCUAUUUGUCAAAGAAUAAGACAAACAUAAUGAUGUCUAAAUUCUGAAGUUGGAAUACAACUAUGAUUCAUUGAGUUUCUAUUUGUCAGAAAAUGUAAGUUGAUGUCUAACUUCAGAGUUGUACGGCUGUAGAGUAUGCUAUUUAUUUCAUCUUAUACUCCAUAUUUGUGCUUAGAGAUAAAGCAAAAGGAUGUAUUAGAAACUUCAUCAAGCAGCCCUUUUGUUUUAAUGGUUUUCCGGUUGAUGUUUUGUUUAAUGGUUGCUCUUUUGCGACUAAAUUGGUGGUUUCAUAUAUUAAGUUCAAUUGUUAAAAAGUAGAAUUUUUCUUCGGUUUGGACGGUAUUUUUUCAUAUAUUUAAUUACUUACAUAACUUGAUCGUCUUUGUUUCAACUCUGUUUGCGUUAUGAAUAGCAGCUCUUUCCAAUUUAACAUGGAUUUAUUUUUACAGUGUAAUUAUCUACAGAAAAUUUCUCUAAAGAUGCUGACAAUGGAGGGACACUGAUUCUGAACACAGUGGGCAAGUCUUUACAAGCUAAUUCCGUAGGUAAUAGAAACUACGCCUUUUCUCUCUGCUUGCAUGCUUUUUAACAUAGAGAGAAAUUGAAAUUGUACUUUAGAAUUAGCGUUCUUUUUGAUGAUCUACUGCCUGGUAAGGGUUCUUGAAAUUGUAUUUUAGAAUUAGUAUUUUUCUUGAUUCAAAACAAAAGGUCUAUAAUUUCCUUCCUACAUUCCAUGUAUGUACAUAGUAUUGCGUGUCGUAAAUAUAUUUACAAAUUUUACAUGUUUUAUACGGUUUUGAAACCCUCAACAUAAGGGACCUAUGUUUCAUUUGUAUUUAUUUUUAGAACACUUCCAGCCCAGCCAAGUCCCCUGAGCGAUGAGCUUUGGAAUCCCCCUACCAAGAAAAAAAAAAAAACGGCAGCUCCAGCCCAUUCCAAUAACCUGGGCUCCCCUGGAUCCCCCACUUUUCCCCCAGGUCCGAAUUGACUGGCCCACUUUGAUGUUAGCCCUGAUUAGAAAAAUACAAAAAAUACAAAAAGUUAUAAAUUUUUUCUAUAAAUAGCUAGCCAUAUUUUUCCACUUUACAUCACAUUUCAAUAUUUUCAAAUACUUUUUAACCAAUCUUUUAUUGUCAUUUGAAAUUAAAAAUAAAAUUAUUUAUUAUUUUAUUAAAAAAAUAUUUGGUGGAGAUGCAUUUGGACAAUUACUGUUCACUAAAGGCCGUUACUAACUUACUAUUCACUUUGACCGAUUGGGCUGCCGACGAGAAAUGACUCCAAACGCAUCUACUUUUGUGUUGAAUUAGUUUAUUUGUUUAAACUACAUAAAGUCAAUUCAAUAACUCUUGGUUUGAAUUAGUUUAUUUGUAGCGAAAACUAACCAUGGUUUUCGUUACAUUGAUAUUGCUAGCUAAUUUGUGAUUAUCUUCUCCCAGCAAAACUCAAUUCCAUUUGCAAAGAAGAGAUCGAUCAUGGCGUUGGAGGUGGUAGGUGGAGCCGCUCUCUCAGGUUUCUUCCAGCAAGUAUUGUGAAGUUGGAUUCUCAGGAGGUCAAGAACUUCAUUAGAGGAAAGAAAUUGACUGAUGGGUUGCUGGAGAAGUUGAGCAUCGAGUUGAUGUCUGUCGAUGCUGUUUAUUAUGAUGCCGAGCAAAAGCAAUUACGUGACCCAAGGGUGAAGCAGUGGCUGCAUAAGCUUAAAGAGGCAGUCUUACGUGCUGAGGACCUACUGGACGAGAUCAAGACAGAAGCGUUAAGGCGGAAAAUUGAAGCAGAAUUUGGAAGUUGCACAAGCAAGGUACAAGACCUCAUAUCUGCUUCUUUCCAUGCUUUUGAUGAGUCUGUAGACACCAAGAUAGAGGAAAUUCUUGAGAGGCUAAGCUCCAUUUCAAAACAAAAGGAUGUUUUCGGUUUGAAAGAACGUUGUAGUCACAGAAGCUCACAAACAUUGCCUUCAACUUCUUUAGUAGAAGGCUCUGAAGUGUAUGGAAGAAAUCAUGACACGGAAAUCAUCAUUCAAUUGUUGCUAUCAGAUGAUGUUACUUGUAAUACGAUUGGCGUCAUUCCCAUCGUGGGCAUGGGUGGGAUCGGAAAGACCACCCUUGCUCAGCUCUUAUACAAUGAUGAGAGAGUGAAGCAGCGUUUUGAGCCCCGAGCAUGGGUAUGUGUUUCUGAUGAAUUUGACAUUGUUAAGAUCACACAAACAAUUUAUGCAUCAGUCACUUCACAAACCUGUGAUUCCACAGACCUAAACCAACUUCAAGUCAAACUCAAGGAUGCUUUGGCGGGGAAGAAGUUUCUUUUUUGUUUCUUGAUGAUGUUUGGAACGAGAAUUACAAUAUUUGGGAUUCCUUAAGGCGCCCCUUCGAGUCUGGAGCUUAUGGAAGUAAGAUCAUUGUCACCGCAAGGAAUGAUGGCGUUGCAUCUACGAUGGGUACUCUUCAAACCCACUAUUUAAAGCACUUACUUGAGGAAGACUGUUGGUUUCUGUUUUCCAAGCAUGCCUUCAAAGAUGCAAGUGUAGAUCCAAAUCUUGAGGAAAUUGGAAGACAAAUUGUUAGCAAGUGUAAAGGCCUUCCUUUAGCUGCAAAAUCUCUCGGUGGUCUCUUACGCUCUGAAUCAAAUGUGGAGGAAUGGGAAAAUGUGCUAAAAAGUGACAUAUGGGAGUUCUCAGAUGCAAAGAUUGACAUUUUGCCGGCUCUAUGGCUAAGCUACCAGUACUUGUCUCCGGAGCUGAGGCGUUGUUUUGCUUAUUGUUCCAUAUUUCCCAAAGAUUAUAAAUUUAACAAGUCUAAAUUAAUUUUGCUGUGGAUGGCCGAAGAUCUUUUACAACCCCAAAAGAAGACUAUGUUGGAAGAUGUUGGAAAGAAAUACUUUGAUGAUCUAAUCUCACGGUCAUUUUUUCAAUACUCGUCUUCAAAUGAUUGUUUCAUCAUGCAUGAUCUGAUGCAUGAUUUGGCGACAUACGUGUGUGGGGAAUUUUGCAUUAGAUUGGAAGACCACGACUUCUCAUUGGACGUUGUGAGCAAGGGUCGUCAUUUUUCUUAUUUGCAAUAUUCAUCUAAUGUUGAUUAUAAGAGAUUUGGCACUAUUUAUGAAGCUAAGUAUCUGCGCACCUUCAUUCUUGGCGUUCUCUAUUCGCCGACAGUACAACUUGAUCUCAUUUUAAUGCUACAGUGUUUAAGAGUUCUCAAACUACGUGUGCAUGAUAUCACGAAGUUGCCUGAUUUGAUUAGCAACUUGAAGCAUCUACGGUACCUCGACUUGUGUAACACUCCAAUCCAGAAAUUACCGGACACGGUAUGCAGUUUGUGUAAUUUACAAACGUUGUUGUUGUCAAAUUGUACAUGUCUAGCUGAGUUGCCCACCGAUUUGAGAAGACUUAUCAACUUGCGCCAUCUUGAUUUGAGAGGUACGAAAAUAAAAAAGAUGCCCCCCCCACAUGGGCAAGUUGAAAGAUCUCCAAACAUUUGGAGGUGAGUUUGUCUUGAGCAAAGAUGCUGGGGGAUACAUUGAUGAGUUAAAGGGGUUUCAGCAUUUGAGUGGAAAUCUUCAUAUUUCAGGGCUUCAAAAUAUCAAACAUGCUGAGGAUGCUUUGGAGGCCAAACUGAGGGACAAGAAGCUCAGUGAAAUACGUUUGGAAUGGGAAGGUGACACUGCUGAUUCUCAAAACGAUAGCCGAGUGCUAGGCAACCUGCAGCCCAAUACAAACCUAAAGGUGCUGGCUAUAAAGGGAUACGGAGGUAUAAAGUUUCCAGGUUGGUUAGGAGAUGAGUCUUUCUCUAAUCUCAUCACUCUCCGACUUGAGAAUUGUGGAUAUUGUUUCUCCCUGCCAACAUUGGGGCGGCUAACGUCCCUCAAAAGGCUUGAAAUUGAUGGGUUGAAUGGAGUGGAAUUAGUGGGGUCUGAGUUUUAUGGGCCUGCAUUUAAAACUCUGGAGUUUCUGAGUUUCCGCAGUAUGCGGGAAUGGCAAGAGUGGUGUUUCC